UUUUUUUUUUUUUUUUGCAUUUGUACAAGGAAAUAGUUAUUCUUGUCUAUUAACAAUACAUGUUACAAAAGAUAGACUUUUCUACAGCAAUUGUGUAUAAAAAUUUCAGUAGUCUAUAUUUCUAUUUCCGCGAUAUUGUACAACUUUCUAGUAGAGAAGAAAGAACCAAAAUUUGAUUUCCAUCUUAAGACUCGUAUCAGCUUUAGGCAAUAAUCUCAUCUGCCAUGCAUUCCCUGAAUUUCACCUCUGCUUUGCCCGUGUUGUCAACGCGGACAAUAUCACAGCACUCCGAUAUAUGGAUCUGUGAAAUAAAAAAAAAUAAGAAAUAUGAUAUGUACAGUUUUCAUCAGAUAUUAGACUCAUUUAUUAAGAUGUACUAUAAAAUCUUUUUUGGUUUUACUAAAAAUAUUUAAGAAUAAUACUUUGAUUGUGAUGUUGGCAUUUUUUUCGCUCUAAAAUUUGGGAUAAUUUCAGAAACCUCACCUGAGGUUUCUAAUAAUUUCACUAGCCUCCCCUGAAAUUUGUAAAAUUAUACAAACCUCUCCUGAGGUUAAGGUUUUGAUAACAAAAUUAGUCCAAUUAGAAAAAGUAACAUUAAAAAAGUACUUUAAGGAGAGAGAUGAAACUUUUGUUCCAUAAAUACUCCUUAUACAUGUAUAUAAGUUGUAUUAGUAAAAGAAUAAAAAUAAUUAAAAGUUAAAGUUAAUUAAUACACAUAUUUUACCACUCAAAAAGUUCACAAUUAAUAAAUUAAAUAUCACAAAUAAGCAACAAAACUACACUAAUGAUCACAAGAUUUAACAAAACAGACUAGUCAUCUCUUUUAACAUAAUGUUUGCUAUGAUUCUUAUGAUUUUGAAUAGAAAAAAUAAUUUUGCCUUUUUUUCCCUCCAUUCUCCUUUACUAAUAUCUAAGAUUAAGUAAUUAGAGCACUAAUUAACUAUUAGUAACUAAUUAAUAAAAAUAACUAUUGAAAAUUUCUUUAAUGAUGGAUGAUAGCUUGUAUAUACAAAAUAACAUCAAUUGAUAUAUCUAAUGGAGGAAGGAGGGAAAAAAAAGGCAAAUUUCAAAAAAAAUUUCUUUUUUUUUUAAUGGCAAAGUCCCAUUCACAGGGAAGGGGUGGGGUGCCAGCCCUACAAUUUAUUAAAACAUUCAGAAGAAUACAAGGAAAGAGAUGACUAUUUUAUUUUGUUGAAUCUUGUGAUUAUUAGCGUAGUUUUGUUGCUUAUUUGUGUUGUCUAAAUUAGUAAAUAUGAACUUUUUGAGUGAUAAAAUGUGUGUAUUAAUUGUUUCUGACUUUUAAUUGUUUUUAUUUUUUUUACUAAUAUAACUUAUAUUCAUGUAUAAGGGGUAUUUAUGAAAUAAAAGUUUCAUCUUUCUCCUUAAAGUACUUUUUUAAUGUUACUUUUUUUAAUUGGACUAAUUUUGUUAUCAAACCUUAACCUCAGGGGAGGUUUGUGUCAUUUUACAAACUUCAGGGAGACUAGUAAAAUUGUCAAAAACCUCAAGGGAGGUUUCUAAAAUUAUCCCCUAAAAUUUUUCUAAGCAAGAAUAAGCUUUCAUGGAACUUUCUUUUAGAUCAGACAUUGGAUUACACGUUAGUUUAAAAAACUAAUUAGUUCAAAUAAAGAUGAACCAAUUGCAGUUUGUACACUCAACUUUUUCUAUAUUUUGGUUCUCACAUGGUAUUGUGCAUUUAUUUUUAACUUAAGUUAUAACCCAUAUAACCUUUCUAGAAUGAAAUACUUCUACAGUAGUCAGCUCUUUUGAUAAUAAAAGAAGCAAACGAAUAAUGAUUAUUGGCAGAAACUGUGAAAACAAUCAACAGAAGCAAUAGAUAUUUAUUUUUUCCUACCAAAAAAAAAUUUGUGCACGACAUAUAUACCUUAUUAAAGUUUAUUAGGAAAUUUCAUAACAAAAGUCACUGGUUAAAUUAAUAACUUUAUCAUGAAACUUCGAGAAAACAUUUUCUUUAAUUUUAAAUUUUUGAUAUAUUUAAUUCUUCUAUCCAGCAAACAAGAAUCAUAUUAAUCCACUAAUAUCUAGAUAAAAGGAUUUUUUUUUUUUUACAAAUUGAAACAGCGGUCCUUCAUGUUUGCAAAUGAUCUUAUUUUUGCUCUCUUACAUGAAAGAAUUUGAUCCCUUACAUAUUUAAACUCUAAUAUUCGGGUUUCAGGUAAUCUUAAUUUGUAGUGAUAAUUAGAUAACCUCACGCCAUGUGAAAUGGUAUACGAGUUAUGAUAGCAUUCUGGAAUAUUGCACAAAACGCCCCUUAUGUUUUGCAGUUUGAUUUUCUCUCCCAAACUUUUAUAACGACUUAGCUACAUUCCUCGGGAACAUGAAAUGCACUAAGUUGGUGUGAAACUGUUUUUCUGAUCAUUUUUUAACUAGGGCCAUCACAAGACUUACAUGUAACGAAAUUCAUGGGGACAAAAAGGUCAACUCAUGAAUCUUAAUCUAGCCGUAUAACUUGAUAUACCAAAUUGAGAAAACUGCACAAAACAUGCCUUACGUUUUACACCAUAGGGAAAAUUUCAGAAAUCUCCUCUGAGGUUUCUGACAAUUUCACUAAGCUCCCAUGAGGUUUGAAAAAUUACACAUAUCUCCCUUGAUUUUAUAGUUUUAGUAACAGAACCUGACAAUAAUAUUGACUUGGUCAAUUUUUUAAAUGAAUACCCAAAAAUGCCCUUGUGUAAUGAGUUUUAAUUUACUUUCCUAUACAAUUAUAAGAUUAUUUAGUAUAAUUAUAAGAAAAGGUGCCAAUUUUUUUAUGUCCAUGCCUACUAUUUGAUAAACAACUGUAAUAAUAAUUUUAUCAUUGUGAUAGAAUAUUAUUUUAUUAUGAAUUUAAAUUUAUAAGAUAGAAAAAAAAUAUUGAAAUAAUUCAUUUAGAGUUUAUGAAUUUCGAGUAAUGGGAUUAUCAUGAUUUAAUAGUGAUUUUGGGCCACUUCCUUUUGAUUUAUUGUUAAUUUUAAUACCAAUAAUAGCAAACAAAAAUCAGCAAAAACAUUGGAUUCCAUAUAAAGUUGAUUCAUCAAAAAAAUCACUAAUUCGACAUUUGGUUACAAUAGAAACUAGAGGUAAUAAUGGUAGUUCUACAAUUUUAUUAGCAAAAAAUUAAAAAAAGAGAAAUAAGAAGGAAAAAUAAUAAAAAAUAAUUUUAAAAGUCAUUUUAAGUAUAAACAUACCAAACAAGAGAAUUUCAUUAAAAUAUUUAAGAUUAGUAUUAUCAUUUUAAAUGACAAGGGAGGUAAGUGUAAUUUUUAAAAGGUCGUGAGCGCUAAAUGAAAUUGUUGAAAACCUCAAGGGAGGUUUCUCAAAUUAUCCCUUUACCGUAUGACUUUUUUUUCCUCACACUUUUAAAAUGAUAUAUUACGUUCAUCACAAACAGAAAUGCACCAAGUUGGUAUGGAACUGUUCUUUCUGAUCAUUUUUCACCUAUGUAAUGAAAUUCAAGGAGGCAAAAAGGUCAAAUAAAGAAUUCUUAUCCAGCCACUUGAUUCGAUACAUCGCAAUCAACUAGAAGGCGGCUUAGGUUCAAGCAAACUCGGAGCACGUGGGCGGGUCAAAGUUUUCAAUUUGACAUUUUUGGCUGCUUAAAAUUCAUCAAAUGUGAGUCUUUGACAACUUCAAAGAGAAAAGUGAUAUGAAUUACUAGAUUUCAAGACCAAAUUGGUGCAUUUUACUUUUCUAAGGGAAUAUAUAUAUAUAUAUAUAUAAUAAAAAUGGGACACAAAUAUAUCGUUUUAAAUGUAAGGAAUCAUAAAAUUCAAAUUUGAGAAUGUUAAACACGUUGAUUUUUUUUUUUGAAGGAACACGUAGAUAUUGAAACUAUAGAAACGAUAGUAGUCACAUACUUAACAACUUUAUCUUGAUUGGCUAAAUGAUCAAUCUUCAAUAUCAGUUUCUUUUGAAAAUUUUAGUCAUUUAAAUUAGCUAGAGUUUAAGAUUAUGCAGAUGGAUAAAUUGACAGUAGAAAUACUGAAUAAGACAUUUUUCCCUGGCUUUGAUUUUUAUCUUGGUGAAACAUUGAUUACAAACAGAAUCUAAUUUAGCUAGAUUCUUAUUUGCAUAUGUUAAAGAGGUUCUCUAGGAAAUAUUAAGAUAAGAUUGUAAAUAAUGAAGGAGAUGAUUAAAUUCCAUUAAAACAAAUUGUAUUAAAUAUAGCAAUUGCCACAUCAUCUCUUUACAAGGAUGGGAAAGGAAACUAAAUACCACAUCAUUUUAUAAGGAUGGAAAAGGAAAAUAAAUACCACAUCAUGAGUCUAUGUUGGAAGUUAUAUGCUGGGUGAUGUGUAAAAAAUUAGGACUAACAUCACUUUGCAUCCUUAAACUUGUAUCAUUUUCUCACUUUGCACUAUAAAUUUUAAUUUUGGACACUUUAAACCUUAAACUCACAAGUUUUUUGUCCUACUUAAAUCAGAUCAAUAAAUCACUUUUGCAAAAUUAAUGAGACAAAGAAUUGUGAAGAUUAACGAAAAUAUACCAUUUUAUUCUAACUACAAUCCCUUAGUUUUUCUUUAUCACUUUCGGCAUGUUGUCAUUGAUUUAUAUGGUUUCAGUCACUAAUAUUGUGAGCAAAUUAAUGAGAUAAAAGAUAGCACAAACUAACCAUAGUGUAUUAUUUUAUUUUUUGUUACGAUAUCUUGAUACCUUUUGACCACUUUUGGUACAUUGUUAUUGAUUUGCUGGGUCCUCUAUAUCAUUAGUUUUACUAAAAUUGUCAUUGAUUGAAUUUAAAUGGGACAUACUUGAGAGUUUAGAGUCCAAAUUAUCCAAAAUUGAGAAUUUAUGGUGCAAAGUAUUGAAAAUUAAAAUUAGAGUGCAAAGUAAAGAAUUCAUACAAAUUCCGAGGUGUUAAGUGUAGUUCGUCCUUGAAAUCAUGAUCUGUAUCAUUACUUUUAGAGGAGAAUGGAGAAUUAGGUCAUCCAUCUUUAUGGGCAUAUUUCUGAUCCAUUUUUGCAAUAGUAAAUUAAUAAAUUUAAAUGAAUUUUUUCCAGCUGGAACCUAGUUGAUGUUUGUCUUUGGUCAAUUAACUAAUGUAAGAUACAAGCUUAGUAUUGGUUGUUUUGUAGAAUAUGUAGUAGGAAACGUAUCCUAUCAAACGUUGUUGCGUGUUUGUCGGAUUCUAUUGAAAACAACUGGUACUUAAUCCUAAUUGAUAUCUUCUUCUGUGUUUUUUAUUCAGUAUUUUACUAUUAAAAGUGGAAUUUCUUUGAUAGGAAGCCUAUGUUGACCCUGGAUAUGGUUACGUGAGAGAGGGGAUUAAGAUGCCACAUUGACAAAUUUCUGGAGAACACGCCUGGGCAAAACUAUUAUAGACAGAUUACGUAACUGUGCAAUUUUGAAAUUUUCAAGCACAUACAACAAUCUAGUAUGAAUGAACCCCUAUGAGGCCAUCUAAUGUCAUACAUGUCAGCCCUCAUCAAAAUAAAUUUCAAACAAAUAUUUGUCUAGAGCAAAUGACAAAGAUCAUCGCUAAACUAUUUAGAAUUUCUUUUUUUGGUCACUAAACUUUCAUUUAGGCAAAAUAGUUGUUUAACUAGUAAAAAAAAAUUUGAUUACUUAGCUAUUAAGAAUUUAUAAAAGAAAAAAAGUAUGUUUUAAUUAGUUGAAUAACCAUUUUGACUAAAUAAAAAAGUUUAAUGGCCAAAAAAAAAAUAGAGAACCCUAAAUAGUUGAGUGAUAUUUUGUGUCAUUCACUCUAUUAUCUUUAAUUACAUUGUCAGCGCAAACUCUUCACGGGAAAAUAUCUACUCUUAUCAUGUAUAAUCACAUGUAUAAUGAGUUCUUCAAAUUAAACUCUAUCCAAAAAAUGGUUAUCGAAAAGAAAAUCUAAAGAAGUUAAUAGGUAAAGUAACUAGAAUUUAGAGGGUUUUGUUUAUAAUGUAAAAUCUUGCAGAUAAUUAAUAUUUUUUGCCAUGUAAUAUAAAUCAGUUAAGAAAUUUAAAAUUAUAGUAGUGUUAUCAUUUUUUAUAGUUGACUUGUAAAUAACACCAUUAAAGAAAUGCUUGCAGAAAUAAAUAAAUAAAUAAAUAAUGAAGUUCAAUCCAAUAAUUAACUAACCUCAGUACGCUUGGUUGCCGGUGAGAACACGUGUAUCUUGGAUACAUGCUCAGCAGAAUGAUUGCCACUUGAAGCACAAGCAGGCAAAUUCCGAGAUGCUGAUCUUGAAUAGACUGUGAGAAUUUCAUUUCUGGAGAUUUUCUUUACAGAUUGGAAGAAGAAAACGUGAGGAGCCUCACAAGGAUCACCAAAUGGUCUUCUAACAUUGAACAUGUAAUGUGGCCGAUUUGGACUUUUUUGCCAUGUCUUGAAUGUUUCAAUGGGCAUUCUUAGCCAACUUCGAGCCAUUAUUUUCUCAUAGAUAUGAGUGGAGUAGCCCCAAGAUAUGGAAAAAGACCAGUUGUUUUGCCUGUGGUGGCAAAUGGUUUGUUGAAAUAAGCGCGAUUGAUCAACAUUUGCGGCUUUCAUUAGAUGGUUUGUGGAUUUAGCACGAUCCAUUGAGGGGAAAUAUGGAUCUACUGCGUCAAUGUGGUGAAGGGACAAUACUAAAUCUUUAGGAUGAGAUGACAAGAAACCUGAUAAAUCGCCUUGUAAAUCUAUCUGCAUGACAAAAUCCAGUAUUAAUUAUCCUUAAUGAAGUUAAUUACUUGAAUAUCUGUGAGCAUGAUUUCAUUACUGAGGUAAAAAUCAGAUAUUUGUUGUGAUAGAAUAAUUGAACUUGAUACCAUAAACAUAAAAAAGAAAAAAAAAUUCCAUUGAGGGGACGAAUUCUAAUUCAACUAAAACUUAAGUAUAUAUUUAAAUAUUUUUUAUUCUUUGUGACAGCAAAAGUUUAAAUUUAUACAGUAAAUUUUUAAAAUUUUCCACUUUUGAAGGGUGAAAAACUUAAGUUUUUAAUAAUUUGAGGGUCGCGGGGUAGUUCCGCCCAUGCUUGAUACACAAUAAUGAGAAAGGACAACAAUAAAUUAUUAGGGUAUGCCCUCUCCAUGUUGGAAUAGUGCAAGAACUAAACUUUAUAACUUGCUUGUUAAGUAUCAGAAAAAAUAUUUAAAAAAAUUAAAAAUAACACUACCGAAGAAAAUGGUUUUUUUUAGGGUCCGUUUGUUUCAGUGUAAAAUUUUUUCCCAAGGAAAAUAUUUUCAGUGAAAAUCAUCUUAAUAGGAAAAUAAUUAUUUCCCUUCAUUUUCAGGUGUUUGGUGCACUUUUGAAAAAUAGUCCUUGAAGACAAAAACCCACAAAGAAUGUUCCCCUCAAAGAUUCGUCAGUUUCCUUCUGCCCAAUGACCAGAACUCCCAUCCACACCUAUAUCAAUUCAUCACCACAAUCCAAAUACUUCAAAUUCCAAAAAAUUAGAUCAUGCUCCAUGAUCUGGAAAUCCAUAGUAUCGCAAACCCAUGACCAUUACAAAUCAUACUAAUUACCUAAUCGUUAUGUCAAUGGAAAUUGCAUCAAGAAUGAGAUCCUUAUCAUUGACAGAGUUCUAUCAGAUGAAGCACUUCACUGAUGCUUACAAACAAUACUAAGAAAGAUAAGAAAGAUGGGGAGGCGUCUUUGUGGUGGUGGUGGGGGAGGUGGCUGUGGGUCUAGGUUAGACACAAUAGAUAAUUUUCAGUCAUGAUCUGAAAAUUUUCAGUUUAGUAAAGGAUCAUGAGACUGAUGAGCUCUCAAAUUUUUUCUUGUUAAAGGGAUUGUGAGGUUGAUGAACUCUAAGAGUUAUUGGAAAACAACUUCAGUACAACAGAUGCAGAAGUCAUUUUACUCCUGAUUGCGUAAAAGAUUUUCCACGGAAAAAAAUUUUCCCAAUCUUUUUGGCUGCCAAACACCAGAAUUUCCUGAAACAGCCCCUUAAUUUUCUUUAAUGUGCAUGUAAGGGGCAUGGAGAUUUGAUGAUCCUAGAGUGCAAUCCAAUGAAGAAGUCAUUAACCAAAAAGUAUAGAGAGGCAAACUUACCUGGUGGAAACCUUUCUGGGGAGUAAGAUCAGCUCCGAUGUCAGCUAGACAUCUCAUGGUCAUUAGAUCAGCUGAAAGACUUGCAUAUGUUUUAAGGCAACGAUCCAUAUCUUGCACUAAUGCUUUUGCUAGAGGAUAACUGAGAAUGAUCCCACUUCCACCAAAUGCCUGGUUAAAACUAUACCAGUAAUUUGACAAAACAAAUUCAGAUGGAUACCCUAUGUAGAAGUACUUUGUGUGAUCAUAUUUUGAGAGAACAUCCACUAAAUUAUCGACGAAAAAAAUAGUAUCAUCAUCUCCCAUGACUAUCCAUCUGACCCCCUCGUGCUCUUCACGAAAUAACUCCAAAAUCCCAUGUACCAUUCGAGGCAUAACAGGAUCCUUCGGUCUGACUACCUGGAACAAUUUGCUGAGAUCAUCGUUGAUUCUAUAAGGAGGAGAUUUCCGCGACCAUGGGAGGAGAUUCCCUGUGGGAGGCCUAUCAAGAUAGACAUAACCCUUUGUUUUUUUGGGUCUCCACCAGGCCUCGAUAUAAGCCCUUCUAAAGUGGUAAGUUUUCUCAGAACCUUGAAGUCCAAAGGCAAUAUGUUUGAGAGUAGUAGGACUAGGAGUAUCAGUAGAUGUUGAGUUUGAAGAAGAAGCUGUUUCUGUUCUCAAUAGAGGAAAGGAUUUAGAAUUUGAGCAUCUUGGAUCCUUGAAAAAGAGCACAAAGAUCACCCAAAGAAGAAGACCUGAAACUAGCAGUGCUUUGCAUAUUCCUAGUUUUUCUGUCAUUGCAUGAAAAUUGAAUGCAGCUGCAGAUGACAUCUUCAGAACUUAACUUGAAUGUUUCAUCAAAUGUGGCUCUUUCUUGAGAAACUUCCCAUUUCUCGCGGCCAGAAGAUAGGAAAACAGCUACCAAGGAAACUUGUCUAUCUGACUGAUUGACUAUUUUAUGUUACUUUACUUUUCAAAGUCUGCUAUUUGAUUAAUUCUCAUGAUUCAUGAAUCUUACAAUUUCCAGUCAAAUGGCACAUAUUCCACAAGAGCAUCUGGAUAUAUCCCAUAAAUGUAAAUAAUCCGUCAUCUGAUCUCCCUUUCUUGCAUCAUCAGAACAUGACAAUAAGCUUGUCAUGAACCCUUUAAUAAUAUAACUCGGCAAGUUCAAAAUUUAUCAAACAAUAUAUGAGAAUACUAUUGGUUGGCAUGAACAUCCAAUUAAUUUAGAUGUGUGACAUGCCUGUAUUGAAUUAUUAGAUAGAGUUUCUUGCUGCACCUGAACCGAACUUCAAUUCCAAUUUGUACAUGUUCUCAUGGCUACACAAAACCAUUGACAUGCUUUUUCCAGCGGGAAAAAGACUGGUGUGGAAGGAUUUUCUGAGUAACUGGAUAUCUUACUUUAUACAGGACGUAUAAUUAAGGCUUAAAUACAUUGUGACCCCUUGUAAUUAGAGAUUGGUUUUAUUUCAACCCCCAUGUUCACGAAAUAUGCAAUUCAUGUUUGGCAUAUAGUAAAUUCUAUCUUUUUCAAAUAUGUAAAGACAAUUAUACGGUCAAAAUCUUUUAGCCUUUGACGCUUUUAGCAUUUGGCGCCAAUAGAUAAUUUAGUAUAACAAAUUUACCCUCUCACUUUUUUUUUUUGGGGGGGGGGGGGGGUGGGUGGGGGGAUCACAUGCAUAUCAUGUGGUGACUAAAAUAAAUAAGGAAGAAAGUAAAGGGACAUAAUUAUAAAAGGAACAAGAAGAUUGACAAAAAGAAAAUCCUUUUCUCUGAUAAUUCACAAUUAGUAAUGGAUACUGCUGUAGAUUGGUAGACGUGAGUAGUAGCUUUGGAUUGCCAAUUAAGACUUGUCAAAUAUGAAUAUGAAGUAAUUAUCUUUUCUUUAGUUGGGACUGAAAUAUUCUUUUACAUGCUUAGAAUUAGGGGAUAAUUUCAAAAACCUCUCCUGAGGUUUCUAAUAAUUUCACUAGCCUCCCCUGAAUUUUAUAAAAUUUCACAAACCUCCCCUAAGGUUAAUGUUUUAAUAAUAAAGUUAGUCUAAUUAGAAAAAGUAAUAUUAAAAAAGUACUUUAAGGAGGGAUAUGAAACUUUUAUUCCAUAAAUACCCCUUAUGUAUGUAUAUAAGUCGUAUUAAUAAAAGAAUAAAAAUAAUUAAAAGUUAGAAACAAUUAACACACACAUUUAAUCACUUAAAAAAUUCAUAUUUAAUAAAUUAAACAACACAAAUAAGCAACAAAAUGAGAUUCAGAAAAAUAGACUAAUCAUCUUUUUUAACAUCAUGUUUGCUAUGAUUCUCAUGAUUUUGAACAGAAAAUUUUUCAAAUUUUAUCUUUCUUUUCCUUCCUUUCAAUUUUCUUUGAAACUCUUAAAACUGUGACAAUUGUAAAGUAAUUUUAUGGAAAUAAAGGAGACAAUUGUAAAGUAAUUUCAUGGAAAUAAGGGAGAAAGGAGGGAAAAGAAAUACAAAUUUGAAAAUUUUUCUAUUCAAAGUCACAAGAAUCAUAGAAAACAUCAUGUUAAAAGAGAUAAAUACUCUAUUUUGCUAAAUCUUGUAAUCAUUAGUGUAGUUUUGUUGCUUAUUUAUGAUGUCUAAUUUAUUAAAUAUGAACUUUUUGAGUGGUUAAAUGUGUGUAUUAAUUGUUUCUAACUUUUAAUUAUUUUUAUUCUUUUACUUACUACUACUUAUAUACAUGUAUAAUGGGUAUUUAUGAAAUAAAAGUUUUAUUUCUCUCCUUAAAGUACUUUUUUAAUGUUAUUUUUUCUAAUUGGACUUACUUUGUUAUCAAAACGUUAACCUUAUGGGAGGUUUCUGUAAUUUUACAAACUUCAAGGAAGGCGAGUGAAAUUGUCAGAAACCUCAGGAGAGAUUUCUGAAAUUAUCCCUAGAAUUAGUUUUGGAGUGGAGCUAAAUUCAUAACUCCACAAUCUAAAUUCGAACUCUUAUAACCAAGUUGACCAAAAAGCUUGUAGCAUUUGUAGGGCUUGGUAGAAUCAACCUCUUUUGGAGGAGUUGGCUACCACAUGUCUUGUGGAAUGGAAGGUCAAAGAUUCAAACCUUACCGUCCAUCAAAAAGUUGCCACUUAACGUGGCUUCCCUAAAAUCCAUAUGGGUUCUUAAAGCACUCGUAUGGUCUUAUUGUAGUUCAGUCUCCGUUGAUUUCCUGUGGCCCUAUUAGGUCAUCCCAUAGUAUAGGUUAGAGUAAGAGUAGGUAUAGAUAGUGAUAAUAGACAAAAAAAAAUAUGUGGGGCUUGGUUGAAACUUUUUCAAAAAAAAAAAAAGCCUUUUUUGAUGAAAAAUAGAUGGUGCUAAUUUACAUUUAAAAUUUACAUCAUUAUGAAUGCUCUUAAAUUUUCUAACAUUUUUUUCAUUCACUUUAAUGGCAUUUAUUUUUUUCCUCUUAUUUGGUGGAGAGAAUGUUUUUAUCCCUUUUUAUCAUGUAAGAGGAGAUGAGAGAUUUUCUUCUUUUUUUUUAAAUUGUGUUUAGAAAAUACUUUUACCUUUUGGCAUGUUGCAUUUCAAAGUUGAUUGAAAUAUAAUUUUAGAAAACACUAAUGGAUCAAUAAUUAGAAUGAUGGUAUCAAAUAAUUUCAAUUAAUUAAGAUUUAUAAUUGAUUUUUUAACAUCUCUUAUUGUAUAAAAGAUAAGUUUUGUAUUGAAAAAAGUUUCCAUGUUCUUAACACUAGGAGUGUGGAUUUAGCUCCACCCUUAGUUUUGUUAUGUUAAACAAUCUGGCGAGCUAUUUGCUUAACUCCUAGACUGUGAUUCAAUCUAAAAUGACUACUAUCUGUUGUUUGGUAAUGGGACUAGUGUCUAUCAUCUAAUAUUUGGAAAUGUUAUGUUGUAUCUUAUUUACCAGUGGCAGAAAUAUUAAUUAUUUGCUUGUCUUGCUCUACCUUGGGUGUGAAAUGUUUUGGAUGUUAUUUAAUUUUCUUGAAUUUAUUUUGGAGCAGCUAAAAUUUUCGGAAGAAUUGGAGGAGUUGUUUUCGGGUUGCAAAGGAAGGAAUGAUAGCCUAUUUCUUUCAUACUAGUGCUUGGGGCCACGCCUAGCGUGGCCUUGCCCUUAUAUAGUUAUUUUUUGGUUUUGUUGUGUUAAGCAGAUGCAUUUUGAAUUUUAGGGGCCCAUGUGUAGUGUGUGUGAGAAUUGUUGUCAGACGUUCUAUUUGUUGGGUUGAGUGAAAUAUGAUAUUAGAUGCAAGGUAGAAUAAAAUAUAGAGUGAUUGUUUGGCUAGGUGGCAUGGGUUUUUGAAUACAUUGGGUGCAUGGGUGCCAAGUUUCUUUGAUGUGGUUGGCAUCUAUUAUGGUGUUCAGAAUAUUUGUGACGAGUAUGAUGAAUGCUUGAUAUUUUUUCCAUAUAUAUAAGUGAAUUGUAUUAUGUAUUAGGAUCAUUUCAUUGUAGUAGUUGAGUUUUAUUUGUAAGAAACGUAAUUUGUAACUUUGUUAUUUAGGUGAAAUUGUCUUUUAGAUUAGUACUAUGGAGCAGAAUGUUGUGUUUGUUAAUCGGUUAAAUGAUGUUAUCUGUGGAUGGGUUCUUCAAGUAGUAUUUGUUGAAAAAUGUCUUAUUCAGGACAGUCGUAAUAUGGGUCGGAGGUAUCAACGAUUUGUUUUUGCAGAUAGUUUGGUAAGUAUUAUAUUUUGUUUGUUGCUUUUUUUUUUUUAGAAAUUUUUAUGAUGUUUAUUUUGUAGGGUGAGUUGGUUCAAGCAGUUGCAUAUUAUAAUGAUAUUCAUGUCUUGAAUGAAACUAUACAAUUGUACUCGACGUAUUACAUUGCUGAUGCUGCUAUUCGUCGAAUCCUUAAUGGCUCAAUAAUGCUUGGAUCAGUUCCUUUUGAAUUGGUGUUAAGACCGAAUACUUUUAUUCAAACUGUUGAUGAAGGUCUUGCACUACCAAUUCAUAAUAUUUACCACUUGACUCGGUUUGGAGAUUUGGAGUCACUGAGGCAUUCGCGAGACUCAAUUAGAAGUAUUCUAAAUAUUAUUGAUAUUUUUUUAUGUAAUUAUUGGUUUAUAUUUGUUAUCAUAGUGAGAAUUUUUUGUUUGUUGUUACAGCUAUUCUCGGUGUUGUCAUUCAGGUGCUUCCAAUGCAAGUUUUUAUGUUGGGAGGAAGAUAUAUACGAGUUCAGGAGUUUCUUUUAAUUAAUGAAGAGUAUGUUUUUGUUAAAUUAAUUUUUUUGGUAUGAUUUUUUAUUAUUACAUUAAAUUUUAUUUAUAUUCAUUUUUUUUUUGUAGAAUGAUGCCAAUUGUGUUUGCAAUUUGGGAUGAUUUUAUCGAUAUAGAUGGAUUAUAUCUUGCUCAAAUUGCACAUGAAUAUCCCAUUAUAUUGGUUUGCAGGCCUAAGAUCAGUUAUUUUCAUGGUAAUGGUCUUUUGGAAUAUAUAAUAUUAAAUUAUAAUUGGAGUUUUUGAAUUUAUGUUUUUUAUUCACAUUUUUUUGUAUAGGUCUUUCAUUGGGAACACAACGUCAAACCAUUAUUAUGUAUAAUGUGGCAAUUCCCCAAGCUCAUGAAUUGAGACAAUGGUUCGACACAUUGGGGGAAGAUGGUGGUAAUUAAUAAUUUAUUGGAGGUUCAGUUGAUGUAAAUAUGUUUGAUGAGUGAAAAUAUAUUAAAUAUUUUUCUUAUUAGUUUGAGUUAAUAAAGUUUGCGAGUUUUGUUCUAAGUGUUUGUAUGUGAAGUAUGAGUGUUUCGAUUUGCAACUGAAGAGCUGGUAGGGAGUUGUAGUGUGUAUUUAUGAAUGGUACAUGUUUUAAUGUGUUAGUUUGCUAAGUGAGGUUCUAGAUAGUUUGGUAUUGAAAUAAAGUGUUGAUUUAUGGUUUGUAUGAGUUAAAGAGUUAGAUAUAUAUUCGUUAGUUACUUUCUUUUACUUUUAUCCAAAUGCAAUUACUGAUUUGAAUAAAGGCAAAAGCAACUCACUAUCCUUGCAAUGCAAAAUAACCAGAGAUGUUUGAAAAAAAGUUAGGAUGUUUUGAUUGGAGAUAGAGAUUGGCAGAGAUAUCUUGGAGAUUUUAAUUGGCCGCAAUACCUCGUCUUGACAUGUGAAGAGACAUAAUUGGCUACCAAAUAGUCAAGUUUCCAAGUGUGCAUGACAUAUGGCCAUACUUAAUUGAAUAAAAAUAAGCCAUAGAAAUGAUUUAUAAAUCAACAGUAAUUUUUAGAAUUUAAUUAAAAUUCCAUUGCCUACAAAUGCCCCCUCAAACCUUGUUCAUGAAUGCUGAAGAUUGAAGUAAGUUUUGAACGGAUAAGUUUCGACAUUUUUUAUUAUUAUUAUUAUUUGAGCAUCGUCGGAAUAUUAAUUCAAUAAAGUCCAUAAAUUGGCUAAAUUUAAAGUUUUGCAAACUUCAUGGCAAUGACUUGAUCAUAUAAGAUGACCACACGGAAUACCACCAAUUCAUGCAUAACUUAGUGAUAUCAAUUUCCAGGAUCAAACCAUAUCAUGCAAUAGGCUCAAGUCCACCGCAACAUUACCAAACGCAUGUAUCAUCAGACGAAUUCAGUAGUUACAAUUUCCAAGACCAAGUGAUUCUAUACUAUAACUCCAUAUUAACUUGCCCAAAUUUCUAAGUUUUCCUUUGCCCCUUAGGACGCCAAUGACAUACAUGUGUGACAUUUCAAAGCUGAACCAGAUUCCUUCUCUAUUACAAAUUAGUUAGUUCAAUUCAUGGCAAGCUCAAUCUGUGGGAACCUAAAGAUAUACUUUCUAGAAUUGGAGACAACUCUUACCGUUAAGGUAUCAACUUUUAAUUACAAUAGUAUUCUCUUAUCCCUCAAGGAUAUGAAUUGUAUCAGUAUCCAAUUCUCUAUGCAAGUGAUCCUUCUCAUAAUAUAGUUGACCAAAAGGACACCGUAUUGGACUUGAAUUCCAUUUACUGGAGCUCUAAUAAGCAUACAUAGUUCCCAAGGCAAAAUUCCCCUGUGCGAAAGAGGAAUUAGUUGAUCAGCCCAUGACAAACUCUAUCAACAGAGGAUUCGAAAACAAAGAUAACCCACGAAUAGUUCAUGUAAACAAGAAAUCUAUUCGCAUUCGAACUUGAAUUCCUGCGGGCUUUCAAUGACACUCCCCGCUAUAAAAUAUUCAAGACUAAAUCCAUAAAUUCACAAAUGCCCCAGAAUUGUGAAGCUCCAAUUGCUGCUUGUUGCCCAUACUUUGUAGUUUGCUCAGCAAAAGUUGCGGCUGUUUUCUUUGUUCGCUGCUGCUGCUACUCAUUAUUUGCUAGUUUGUCCCACUUUGUUGUCCUCUUGAAGCUAAUAAUCACUUUUUCCGAGAUACCCGCGAACUAGUCAACUCGAAGGUAUACAUGCUAUGCUUGGUAUAUUCUCUUUUUUUUCAUGCAAGAUGUUAAGCAUCGUACGUAUCCUCAUCUUUUUUGAUUUUGCAUAAAACUUCCCACUGCAAGAUUGACUAAUACUUUACGGUAGCAUGGUACACUAUUGCAUGUCAGGUCUCAUGCGCUCUUCUUCUUUCGAUUUUGCAUAUAGCAAAAGGCAAAUUUCAUUAUCCUACUUAUCUACCUUUAUAGGGCGUUACCACCCAAACAUGCAUGAUAAAUUUAUUUAGGCAAUAAACUUAAAUACUUUCACUUUAACUUGCAGGAUCAACUCCUGUCCGAGAUCCAUCAACGAACUUUAGAAAGAUUAACUUCGGGAAAAUUUAGCAGCCAUGCAAAUUAAAGAUUGCGCCACGCCAUUGCCACAUAUCUCAUUGACGGACGAACGGUGAUGAUCUCAAUCGAAAAGUCUGUCAUUAUAUAUUAAUAAGCCAGCAAUCGGUGCCUUUGCUGAUUCUUUUAUACUCCUUGAAGGAUGCUUUCAUCUUGAAGAUUGGACUAGCAAGUGGACUAAGGAAGUUGUAGCACCAUCGACUUUCUUCACUAUGUCGAGGGUAGAAGAAGUGGUGGUAUUAAACUCGUCACUUCAUAAUGGAGAUCCAAAAAUAGCUAAAUUCACGCUUCCGUUUGUGGGAUUUAAUAUUGACAAAACUACAUGGAAGAUUCCUUCUUUCUUCUUUGGUGAGGCGUGCUUCACUUCUCACUAUUGGGAAUGGAUCGAAAACAUCCUUGGAAGGCAUAAAGAGGUGCUCACACGUGCCGGCAUAUUUGAAGUCGUCUACGCGUCGAGAUUUUCCUACGACCGUUGUGAAAAUAUCUUGCGAGCUUUCUUCACAUAUUGGUGUCCAUCGAUAAAUACACUCCAUACGCCUAUUGGAGAGUUGUCCAUCACAUUUUGGGACCUUUAUCGACUUGGUGGUCUUUCAAUUGAUGGCUCAUUCUUUGAUGAAAUUGUUCCUUCUGUGCAGGAACUUCUCACUUGUGACAAAGAAGGGAAGUCACUUCUCUCUGAGAGUUGCAGGCAUCUCUUUUCCGCUUACUACCACAUUUGGACGAACGCCCAAGGAGUGUGGAUAAAAGACUAGAUCCGUUUCUGGUUCAAAUGAGAGGCUAUAUAUAGGGUUCAUCCGAACAGGGCGAAUAGAAGAAAAAUCACAUCUAAACAAAAAAUGACCUAUAAGCCUUCAGGAAGCAUAGAGUCUCAUGAUCUUACUGAUGCAAAAGAUUUCAACAUCCCUUUUGACACAUUGGAUAUCCUAGGGUUCUUGAGAAAGAAAACCUAUAUUGCGGCAUUCAUAACAUGUUGAAUUUGCAAGUUUUUUUUGCCAAUCAAAAAGGUCAAUUGCAUUCGCACAAGUGUCUUCAAUGUUGCAUGCUUAAUGGUCACAGGAAAAAGAUUUUGCCUUACAAUUUCCGUCCUUGCGAGCAUAUAUUAUGGGUUGAGGGAGAUCGUCUAUGCCCCUAACCUUAGAAAAUGUGAGGUGGUUUUUCCAAUCCAUUACGUCUAUGUUUGAAUUGGCCAAUAUUUUGAUGUGUAUUAUGAGAAUGACAAAGUGAGUAACCACCACGCAGGCAUGAUAAGAUUUAGUGGUGAAAAAAUAGUAAUAUUUUAUGAUAAAUCAGAAGCUGAGAAAAUCUUCAAAGAAAUGAAUCCCUUGAUGCUUUCUAAAUUGUGUUGGACUGAGAAUGAAGAAAAGGUAUUGAUCGACGACGGAUCCUUAUCAUCAAGACUUAGCUACUUUAUCAGUCAAUACUCUUGCUACUUAACUCUAUGUAAGGACAAUAUCUUUAUUGUUGAAAAAUAUAAUCCUUAUAGAUUUAGUAGACAAUUCGCCUUCUGCCAGGAUAUUCUAAAUAAUUUAAAAGAGAUUACUCACACUUAUAUUUUGGGUGAAACUAUUCAAUUACGGGAUUCCUCAGUUUGCACGCAGACGUGAUCUCGAAUGACUAUACCUAUGCAUAGGAAGCAUCUAUUGAUCACAAAAGAUUAUGAUACCUGGUAGUCAACACGGUCAAAUAGCGUCAAUUCAACUUCCUUUAAAUUCACCGUUAAGAUCCCUCAACAAUCAUCAAAGAAGGGCAAGGAUAACUCUGUCAAUGAGUCAAUGCAUCACAAUAGAGCUAUAGAGACUGGAACGGUUCUUACUGCAUUUACCUUGCAGAAGAACAAAAUUACUAACACUCGCUUGAAAAGUAUUGUCACGAAAAAUAAGUUUUCAAAAGACUAUCAAUGGGCCAUCAAAGAGACAAAACUAGCACUUCCAAUAAAGAAGACGUCGUAAAAAAUUUUAAAAUCUUUAACCAUGACUUCCAUGGGAGAAGAUGCCGGAAUUGAAAUGUUAGAUGAUCACGAUUCUAUCAAGGUUAUUGAAAAGGAGGAACUCAAAUCCAAGGCACCAGACCUACCAAGGAGGAACACAUUCAUUGACAAGUAAUAGUAGCAGUUAAGACUGUCAUUGGAAUCGAAAAAAGAAGAGGACAUCUUCUAAUUUGGAGGAAAUUUCCUUUAUAUCAUCUUUCUUUUUUUAUUUUUUUGUAACUUUUUUCUUUUAUUUUUUUAUUUUUUUCAGCCCCCUUUUCUUCAAUUCCGCCAAGAAGAUGUUGGCAACAAUUCACCAAUUGAAUUUGAAGUUGAUGGUGAAAUUUCAGACAAAAAAGGUGACGAAAUUGUCGUCAGCAUCCCAAAACAAUUUGUCACCAGUAGAUGUGCCUUAUCAAUUCAUAAGAAGGGGCUGACUAGUUCAUACGAGAUCCUAAAGAGGUCUAAGGUAGCAUUGGUUUCAGAAUUUCAUGGGUAAAAAUUGAUCCAAGCAUAUCGAAAGAAAUACUUGCAGAGUUUGUAGAUGGAUUUUCGCGGGCAGAUUCUUGACACUCCUAUCGAGCAAAUCUCUUCUUUAAAAGAAUGCAUAGAGGAAAUUAUUGCAGAAAUCACAAGAACAGAUCCUAUCAAUGUUCUUCCUUUAAAAGACUCUUUGAUAGAAUUGUUCGCCAAGACAGAGACAUACGAUAUUUUGACAUCUUCAUCUUAGAAAAAGAUGAGUAAAGAGACACAUGCAGAAUUUCUUCUAAAGUGACUGUACAACUCGGGAGAGCCAAGACAAAGGAAGAAGAACUAACUUGCCAUCUGCAGAAUCUUGAAAAAAAGUUACAAUCUAUCGAAUAUAUGAAGAAAGUUCUUCAACAGGAACUUAUUGAUUUGGAAAGACAAGACACAAAAAUCAGUUUGACUAUUGAUCAAAAGUAUGAAACUUUUAAAGAGAUCUAAAUUGAGAUAAACCAAGUGCAUGAUGAACUCUCCUCUAUCGAGAAUGCCAAUGUCUUAACUGAUGAUGCAAUGAAGGAACUUGAAGACAUGAAAUUUGCACCCCGAAGCAUGUAAAAUAAUUGUAGUAGAUUACAAGUUUGACAUUUAGACUUUCUAUCAUUUCCUUCUUUUUCAUCAAAAAAAUUUUUUUAUCAUUUUUUUAUGUAAUGAAACUUUUUAUGAAUAAUAAAAUGCUUUUCGUCCCUUAUCUCUUUUUUUUUUAAGAGAAAAGAACUUUUAAAUUUAGCAUUUUAUUUUCAAAGAAAGAGAGGAUUCCUUUUUUUUUUGCAAGGAGAAAAAAAAAAGAAUUUGAUUUGGGAGGUAUAACCGAACUUAGAAGUUGCCCUCUAAACUGCCUACGUAUCCCAAAAAAGGAAUUAAGUUACACGUAGUUCCUGUCGUUCACACUUUAACCUCAUGUGGUCAGGAGUAUUUGUUUGUUUACCAUCUUAGAUUUGGUGGAGUGUUUCAACAGUUUAACCAUAUACUACACUAUUGGUAGUGGGAGUUCUCAAAUUAUGCAUAGUACCUUUUUAGGUACUUUCAUUGAUGGGGCUAAUUCUUAAUCCAUUAUCAGCAACCAAUUUGUUUGAGUCAUUUAUAUACACUUCUCGGACAAUAUAUGGACCAUCCCAUUUAGGGAUAAACUUCCUUUGUCCUCCAUGAGCAAGAAUGAUCGGUUUUCAAACAGUGAGUACUAACUCUGCAAUUUGAAAAGAGCGUGGUCGACAUACUUAUUGAAUGUUUUUCAAAGGCGAGCUUGAUAGGCACUCAGUCCGUUAUUGAGUUUCUAAUCUCUUUUCAUCAACGGCUUCUAACUCCUCAAGACGAAGACGAACAUUAUCUUCUUCACUGAGCUCCUCUUGAAUUGCAAUUCUUAGCAAAGGUAUUUGACAUUCAAUUGAAAGAACAGCUUCAACACCGUAAACAAGUGCGUAUGGGGUUGCUUGUGUGGGAGUUCGAAAAGUAGUUCUAUAUGCCCAAAGAGCUUCCUCAAUUCAAAAAUGCCAAUCUCUUUUUGAUGUAUCUACAAUUUUCUUUAACAGAUUACAUAAGGUCUUAUUGAAUCCUUCAGCGAAUCCAUUUGCAACAACGUAGUACAUUGAAGAAUUGUAUUGUUUGAAGUGAAACUUUUCGCAAAACUUAUUCAUUGCUAUAUUGCAAAAAGAUUUACCAUUAUCAGUGAUGAUAUAAAGUGGAACUCCAUACCGGUAAAUAAUGUGCAAACGAAUAAAAUCUACUAUAUUCUCUUUUUUGACCUCUCUUAAAGGAACUGUUUCAACCCACUUUGAGAAGUAAUCUGUCGCUGUCAAAAUAAAAAUAUGUCUACCAGAAGAUUUUGGAAACACUCCAACUAUGUCCAAACUCCAAGCAUCGAAUGGCCAAGAAGCCACAAUUGGGUGCAAUGGUUUAGGAGGUUGAUGGAUGAAAUUACCAUGAAAUUGACAAGUUUGACAUCUUCUAACAAAAUCAAUGCAGUCCUUCACCAUCAUCCCAUUCUCUUAAUGCGAAAGUAUAUUUCGGAUCAGAUUGAUGAGCACUACAUAUCCGAGCGUGAGGUUCAUCCAUUGCUUGCGUGGCCUCAUUUUCUCCAAGAUAUCGUAGAAACACUCCAUCAAAUUAUCUUUGAUAAAGCGUUCCUUUAUAGUAAAUGAAACGUGACGCUUGGCGGCGUAUGUCAACCAUUUUCUUGAAAUUUUCUGAUAACUUUCCAUGAUUAAAAUAAUCAAUGAUGAGAUGACGUCAAUCCUCCUUUUCAAUUUCAUUAAUGUAAAUAUGAUAGGCAUUUUCUUUCCCACCAUUAUCUUCUUCAUCGAACAUUGGAGGUAUGAUCCAAUUUUGACAUAUUAAGAUUUGAUUUCGAUGAAAAGGCAGAGUGAUCGUAGACGCCAACCUUGCCAAAGAGUCAACUUGUUGGUUGAAUUUUUUAAAGAUGUGUUCUAUGGUGACAUUGCCUAAAUAUCUGAUGAGUUGUCUUGCAUAAUUAUAACAUGGGAUUAAUUUAGGUUUCUUAACAUUAUAAAUAUCAAGAAGUUGAUUUACCACUAAUUUAGAAUCACCAUAGACCUUAAGAUGUAAUUAUUUCAUGUCCAUAGCCAUCUCAAGACCAAGAAUUAACGCUUGAUAUUCAACUACAUUGUUUGAGCAUCGACGUGUUAAAGUGAAAGAGUAUGGCAAUAUGUCUGCCUGAGGAGUGUAAAAGAUGACUCCCGCACUAGCUCUAUCACGGUGAGCAGACUUGUCAAAAUACAUCGACCAUAGAGAUUCGAUCAUAAAUACUUCUUCAUCGAGGAGUUCAUCAAUCAACACUCAUUCGGCAGGCAUGGGAUGAUCAGUUAAAAAGUCUGCUAAUACUUGUCUUUUGAUAGCCUUUGCAGGUACAUAAAUAAUUUUGAUUAUUGAAAUUGAAGAUACCAUCUUACAAGACGGUCAGAUAGCACAAGUCUUUUUUAUGACAUAUUUAAUGGAAUUAGUUUUGGAUAUGAGUCGAAUAGUGUGUGCUUGAACAUAACGUUUCAACUUUUGAAUGGCAAAUAUAAGUGCCAAACACAACUUCUCAAAAGAUGAAUAAUUCAACUUAUUUAAUGUCAUCAUCCAAUUCAAGUAAUACAACGCAUUCUCCUUACUUUCAUCAUUUUCUUGAGCCAGUAAAACUCCAACCGAUCAUUCUUGAGCAGAAAUGUAGAGGAUUAAUGGCUUUCCGAGAACUGGUACAGCUAACACAAGCGGAUUCGUGAGAUAAGUUUUAAUUGCUUGCAAAACCAUUUCACACGUUUCAUCCCAUUCGAAGGGUACCCCUUUUUUCAUUAAUCGACUAAAGGGUUGGUACCGUCCGGCCAAAUUAGAUAUAAACUUCCGAAUGUAAGCCAAUUUUCCUUGAAAGUUCUUCAAUUCUUGGAUAUUUCGCAGUUCAGGCAUAUUCAUAAUAGCGCUAAUUUUAGAUCGAUCAACUUUUAUUUUCCGCUGAUGAAUGAUAAAAUCGAGAAACUUACCAGAAGCGACUCCAAAUGUGCACUUUAAAGGAUUCAUUUUCAGCUGAUAUUUUCGAAGACAUUGAAAAAUUUUUCGAAAGUUUUGAAUGUGAUCUUCUCGCUUUUUUUAUUUUACCACAAGAUCGUUAACAUAGCACUCCACAUUUAAAUGAAGCAUAACAUCAAAAAUUCUUUACAUUGCCUUUUGGUAUGUUGCUCCAACAUUUUUCAAUUCAAACGGCAUUACUCUAUAACAAUAAAUUCCUUUGGGAGUACGAAAAGUAGUGAGUUCCUCAUCCUUAACUGCCAUGCGCAUCUGAUUGUAACAAGAGAUCCACCGAGGAAAGAUAGUGUUUCAUGUUCCGCUGUAGCAUCUAUUGUCAAUUCUGUUAUGGGAAGUGGAAAAUCAUUUUUGGAUAAGUUUCAUUCAACUCUCGAAAAUCUACGCAUACUCGUAUUUGCCCAUUCUUCUUUUUCACAGAGACGAUACUCGAAAUCUAUGUUAAAUACUUCACUUCUCGUAUGACCCAGUUUCAUUCAACUUAUUUACCUCAUUUUCUAUUAAAGGAAUUAAUUCGAGUCUAAAGAAUCUUUGAGCUUACUUAAUAGGUUUUGUUCCUCGUUUGACAGAUAAAUUAUGAACAGUGACUCUUGGAUCUAAACCAGACAUAAACAAAGACAUUCUUAAAUUCGAACAGAAUAAAUCAACAUACUCUUUCUCUUCUUCAGGAGUCAUACAAAAACUUAUGUAGAUUGGGCGAGAGUCAUCGCACCAAAAUUAAUUUCUUUUAGCAUAUCGGCUGUAGUUUUUACUUAUUCAAAUUCAGAGGGAGCAUCGUCCGCAUCUUCUUCUUCUUCAUGAUCAUUAAUCGUAAUAUGAUGGUAGGAAGCAAUACUUUCUUGACCCUGUUCUUCAAAGAUAGUUUCGAAUCUUACGUUAAACAAAUUUCUAUAGUUCAUGAAGAAAUUGAAGACUCAUUUUUUCGGACCAUUCUUUUUUAUUGGAGUAAGACUUUCUUCCCUGACAACUUGAUGCUCUUAUUAUUUAUUGCCUAAUCUCUCAUAGAUGGGCGGUUUCAAAUUCUUUGAUUGUGGGCCAAGUCUAUCAAAUACCGAAGUACGUUUUGACUUAUUUCCCAAUCUAUCGAAAACAGAUCUCUUAUGGCUUGUGACCUCCAUUUCUUCGUUCACAUAGUUACAACUUGCCCUUUUGAUCACUAUACGAACAGGAGAAGGCGGUUGAUAACCAAGAUCCAUUGAUGAACUUUUAAUGCUAUAAUCUCUUUCUUUCAACAUUUUCUACGUAGAUGUCAAUUCAUGAGUCUUUUCGUCAGUCACUUCAGGAGAGAGUUUGCCCAAUGCAUUCUUCUCACUUGGGUCAUAACCCGCCUUAAUAAGAAGUCUAUAUGCAUUUGGAUCAAAAUCUUCUUGUGUCCGAUUAGUUGGUAGUGAGUGAUGUUCCACUACAGGUUCUUCUUUAGGACGGACAAAUCCUUGCAAAUUCAUUUUUUCGCUUUUAACAGGCUCUAUUUUGGUGAGUGGAACGUGUGACGCCUCCCACUUCUCCCUAAGGCGAACCAAAGGUAUCCGCGGGACGCCUGCCUAAGUCUCGCCAGGACUCAACCAAUUCCAUUUAAGCUUAUUAUCGAUCUACACAACACAAGUAAAUAACUUAAAUAUAGUAAAUGCGGAAGCGUUCAAACUUAACAAUAGUCAUCCAUUAUCCAACCCGCACGUCGGGUGUUCAAAGUACAUCAUGAAUCCCAAAUAUACAUCACGCCCUAAAAGUUACAUUUCAAUUCCAAAAGAACAACCCAAAACCAAGGGUAUAAUCUAAAUAUAAUAGAAAUCCUAAACAAAAGUACAUCAGGAGGGUUUCUCCAAUACAUCUCCGAGUUCAAUCCUGUUAAGGAAAACAAAUCUACAGGGUGAGCAAAAACGCUCGUGAGGCCAAGAACACACAUGCAAGCACGUAGUCCAGAUAACAGUCCCAAAUAACAGUUCAAGAGAUAAUUACAAGUAAUUAAUAAAGCCAGUGAAAGUAAGCAGAAACAAUUCAAGGAUAUAGUAGCUCUCAGGAGCUAACUUCCACUUGCUUUGCCAGUUCAUUCGUAUAUCUUCCCGCGAUGACUCUCCGUCAACCGGGUUGAUAUUUCCAAACCAUAGAUCACCACUUACUUCUCAUCCGUCCACCCUACACCGCUUCGGGCCCGCACGACAUUUAUAAAGCUAUACUCCACGAGUAUGCCAAGCAAGAUCUCUCAAAUAGAUCAAGUUUAUCAUGUGAUUCUCAUGGCUCACCAAGAUUCCCGACCAAGCCCAUGCCGGCUCGAGUUCCAAGGUCGGCCUAUGAGUUUGGGCGUCCCUCUAGUAUCAUGUAAGUGUCUAGGAGAUUCACUCCAACGACGUAUGCAGCCAUAGCUUACCAUGUCAUGUAUUCAAGCAUUUGACAGGUUUAAGCAUGUAUUUCAGGUCAUGUAAACCAGACAAAACAUGUUAAGCAUGAGUCAUUUGUUUCAAAUAAGAACGAGUGCGAUAAAGUAUACACUCGACUCCAUUUUUCAAAACCAAGUAGGCUAAGCAUGUAAUCAGGUAAGCCAAGCAUGAAUCAAGUCCAUAGAGUUCUAGUAGCCAUACACUUGACACUCACCAAGUAGAAGUAGUCUCAACCAAAAUUUAAGUGUUCACCGUGGGAUCCUCUUGAGGGUCCUCGUGUGCGCCUGAGCAUAUAAUAGUGAAGUAUCACUCAUAUAUCCCAAUUAUCAAGGAAGAUUGUACACUAGUACAAUCUAAGGAAAUUUCAUGAAAACGAACCUCAAUUACUCGUAAAUCGAGAUUUAAAUGGAGUUUCUCAAAGUACACGGUAAUCGAGUUUUCAUUUUGGGAAAUCAAGUAUAAAACGGUCAAGAAAUAUUGAAGGAAUAAGGAGUACUUGAAAACUCCCUUCCUUUGGAAUUUGGGAAAAAAAUUCAGGUUUGAUACGAUAUUUUGAAAAAUCGUAUCUCCCAUUCUACAUGUCAGAAAUUGGAAAACUGGGUGCCGUUGGAAACUUCUUUGAAAGUACUAAAAGUUCUUAGAAUACACUUUUCUAAGAUUCCAAAUGAAAAACAUUCAAAAAUGAGCUCAAAGUUGCUGUUUUGGUUCAUAAGGCAGAUUUAAGUUGGUUUUUGGCCAACUUUGAAAAUUCGGAAAAAUUCACUUGAGUGAAACUAGUCUUUGAAAUUUGUAAAUCUAAUAGUGUUGUAAUCCAAGUUUACAACAAAACAAGCGGAACAAGAAAUGGAGUUUCGAACACCGAGAUACGGCAGCUCAAAAUUUGGGAAAAUUCGAAACUACUGAACAAAUUUCCAGAUUUGAGUUUCCGACUUUGGGACCUUAGUUGGGUAUCGAAAUGGAUUUGGAUUGGUACAAAAUUUGGCAGUAUAAUACUCCUAUAUAAAGGAUAUUCCUCUAUCAAUUUUCAUGGAAAAAUACCUUCGGGAAGGUAGUCAACCAAACACCCAAAGUUUUGAAAAUCCUAAGGUAGAACUGCCUUGAGCUUUUUGGUUUUCCAUUCCAAACAUUUGGUCAAGGAAAAUCCUCCAAACGUAGUUCAUUGGUGUAGGCAAAGCCUAAGGAACAUUCAUGGUACAUUUGCUAAGUGUUUAACACCCAAAAAAUUCAAUUAGCAAGUCUACAUCAAGCCUUGCAUCAAAUCUGUCCAAAAGUUAGGGUUUUCAAGAGCAGGGCAGGUUCGGUAUUUUGAUCACAAAUCACUCAACUUAACUCGGAAUUGAGUAUGGUUUAUGGCGUUGAAAAUAAAUUCAUAGAGUUAUAAUUUCACAGAAGAAAUCAUUUUGAAAUUCGGCACACAACUAGCUCGAAUUCGACCCACAAGUUGCAGCCUCAGCAUUUCAUUCCAGGAAAACAGAGAAACAGAACAGCUGACUUUAAAUGGUUGGUUCGGCUCACAUACAUGGAAUCAGAACAUGCAUUUUAUACCGUUGGAAAGGUGGGAAUGUCUAGUUUCAAAUGCCGCUAACGGUACUCGAUUUCGAUGUCGGAGAACAGAGUUAUGGAUGAAACAAGAAAGCUGGUCUGAGCAUUACGGGAACAGUUUCCAGGUCUGCUACCUUUACGAAAAUAAUUCAUUUGACCAACCAAACCUCAAUAUUUUUCAAUAAAAUUUUGUACACCAUCUAUACAACAUAUAAACAUCAUAUACAAGCCAUUAAAUCCCCAAAAUUCUGCAGAAAUAGGUACGUUCAAAGCAGGGGCAGAAUCGGAACUUUUUACUCCAUGCACCCCUUGAAGUUUCUACUAAUAAUACACCAUUAAUCUACCAUUUUGAGCACUAAACUAACAUUAAAUCCAUCAUCAAGUAUGCGAUCAGUCUCCAAGACAAAGGUGGGAGUUCAUAGAGCCCACCCAUUUCAUUUUACACCAUAAACAAGCUAACCAAAGGCAUGCUAGAGCUUAAUCAUGCUAUAUGACUUCCAAAAGACAAGAUUCUAUGAGUUGAUUAUCACUUACUUUGGUUUGAUGUUCAAGCAGAAUUUCGGCCCCCUUUACUCCAGCAAAACCGUGAUUUUCAGCUCCCCUUUUUUCAGCUCAAAAUGAUCCUCAAGUGUAGAGUUAAGUGCUGUGAAAAUUUGGUAGGAUUUGAGUGAGGUUUGAUGAUGAUUUUGGUGAAGAGAGUUUUGAAAGAACUUGGUGUUCUUGUUGCUCUCCUUGGCCGGCUGACAUGAGAGGGAAGAGAGAGGGAAAUUUGAUCAAUUUUCAGCUUCCUUGAGAAGCUUCAAACGUGUGGCCCAUGUUGAUGCAAAAGUCAACUCUUCUACACGGCGCACUCGGGCACGUUUCGUGCUCGAUUUCUCUCGCAUUUGUUUCACUAGUGCACUAAACCUCUAGUACACUUAUAUUCAUACCAAUAUUAUUCACUCUUAAUUGUCCUAAAAUAAGGGUCUAAAGUCCCUCAAUUAAAAUCGCGCGUGUGAAAACGCGUAUCUCCAAUUUGAGCGCGAUAACGCGAAACUUCUGAGAAAUUCUUAUAACGAUAAUACUAAUAACUAUCGCUUGAGUAUUUAAACAUUAAAAUACCUAAUUUUAGGACCAUUGUACAAGUCUCCAUUUUUUCAAACUUAUUGUACUCUCAAUCGGUUAAAAUUUUCCAAACGUGUUUUUAUUUUUCACUGAACAAGCUUCUAAGAAAAUAAUUUUUGAAACGAGACACUUUAAAAAUAUAAUGGAGCUAUAAUACCAUGUACUUAGGUCUAAUAAAGUUAAAAAAUAAUAAUCGAAGCAAAUAUUCAAAUAAAUAAUUAAAUAAGCAAAAAUAGGAGUAAAAAAAUAAUAGUUUUUACGAGUCCUCACAGAACGGAACAUUUAAUGUGUCAUUUCUGAUAAAAGAAGAUUGAUCUUCUUUUUUUCUUUGAUUUUGGGAUGUAAUGCAAAAUAGGUACCUUGGGACCUUUAAUUUCUUCCCCUACUAAUUCUUUUCUUUUUGCUUCUUUUUGAAAAUAAAAUUUUGCGUCGGCAAAGUGAGUUUCGGCUUCAGUGAAAGGCUUAUCAUCGACAGUAACUUUCUUAACUGUACUAUCUCGGCAAUAUUUAAAACAUUGAUGAAGAAUAUAUGGUAUAAUUUCAUUCUCAUGAAUCCAGUGUCUUUCCAAGAGUAUGUUAUAAGAGGUUUUGGCGUCAAUAAUAUGAAAUAACACGCUUGAAGACAACUCGCCAAUAAGCAAUUCAAGCCUUAUGUGACUAAUUACUCUUUACCGCCAUUGAUUAAAUCCUUGGAUCAUAAGGCGGUUUUGAGAGAGUUCAUCGCUUGAAAUUUCGAAUUCUUUCAUAGCACGUACGAACAUAAUGUUGACAGCAGAUCCCCUUUCAAUGAGUAUCCGAUUCAUCUUCUGUUCUCUGACAUAUGCGCUAACAAACAAGGGUCAAUUGUAGAUUUUGGAAUCAACUGUUAAAUAAUCAUUAUCAAAAAUAAUAGUCGUUGCACAAUCUACAGGUGAUUUACUAUCAAUUUUGAAUUUUUCUCAAAUUCAAUGCCAAUUUGUGUGACUUGAAAGUUUUUAGUCUUGAUGACAUUACAAGAAGUGAAAUCAUCAUCAUUAUCACUUAAAUAUCCUUUUGGCGUAAACUCUCUCAGUGUCACAGGUUGUCAAACCUCUUGAAGAAGCGGAUGAUUUGAAGAAACUUGUAUUAGGCCACUCCUUUUUGUAUCUUUGUUACAUUUCGUUGUUUCAUUGCCACUUUAGCCUUUGUCGAACAAAUAUUUUUUGAAAAAAUGUACUUCUUUAUCUUUGGUUUGCAAGUCCUUUUUCGAGUGACUAAAAUUCAUCCAUCAUUAUUAUCUUUAAUAACAUUUUCAAUUGAAGAUUUUUUAAAUUCCCUUUUUACAGACAGAGCAUUGUUUGAUGUGAAUGGAACUUCUAUCGGACAACACACCAACCCAAACAUUAUUGUUGUUGAUUUGCCGAUACAUUAUCCUUCUCAAGAAAGAUUUUUCCUUGACGGAUUCAUUCCACGAUUUUGUCUUUAAAGACAAAGCAUUUAGUGAGAGAGUGGCCAAUCAAAUGAUGGUAACAGCAAUAAUUUGGAUCAUUGACAUGAUCGGCUUCCUCUGGGCACUUCAUGUCGGCCAGUUCAAGGAGUUUCUUCUUGAAAAGAUCAUCAAACAUUCCCUGUAAGUCAAAUUCAAGGAAGGGGUAUUUCUUUUCUUGCAUCUCUUUUAAAGUGGGAUUUCUUACUGACUUAUUCUGGAAGGAGUCUACCUGGUCCGUGACCUUUCGACUCACCUUGAUGGCAAUCUUUAUGGGAGUCGUGUUUAUUGCCAUGGACUCUUUAUUACUGAGUUUUGAAGGACGUUUGCCCCCUUUUUUAUUUUCUUGUCUUUCAUUGCUUUGACGAGACAGUUGCACCUGUAGAGUUUGAAUAGGAAGCCCAUUAGUUGCAUUGGCUGUGAUGCUUGAUUCCAUAUCAUGAGCACAAAUAGCUAAUUCUUCGAAUGUGUUUGGACGUAUACCUUGUAAAAUGUAACUUAAACUCCAAUACAUUCCUCGGAUACACAUUUCUAUGACAAAAGGUUCAGAUAGUCUGUCUUUACAAUUAAGAUUCAAAUUUCUCCACGUAUCGAUGUAGUUGACCACAAGUUCAUAUUUUCAUUGGCGAGUGUUAGUCAACUCCAACAUACUAACGGUUCUUCUAGUGCUGUAGAAGAGAUUCAAGAACUCUUGUUCAAGUUAUUCCUAACUAUCGAUGGACCCCGGUGUAAGAUCAGUGUUCCAAUCAAAUGUGUUACCCUUCAAAGACCGAACAAACUGUUUGACUAAGAGGUCACUGCAGGUUCCAGCAUUAUUGCAGGUCUCAAUGAAAUGAGCCACAUGUUAUUUUGGAUUGUCUUUUCCAUCGAAUUAUUGAAACUUAAGCGGUUGAUAUCCAGCAAACAUUGUUAGGUUGUCAAUUCUAGUAGUGUAAGGUUUGGAGUAAAUAAAGUUUGAUUUUGAAUCACCCUCCUUUUUGUCUUUAAUCACAUCUUCAACAAAUUUCUUCAGUUGUUCUACGGGAAUAGUCCCUCAGCGAUCACAUAUACUUCCUUUACCUUAUCUUUGUCUUUAGAUGAGGGAAUUUCGCGCUCUUGGUGCUUCUUAGAAUUCAUAUGGUUUCCUUCAGGAGCGUGAUCUUUUUGGGUGAGCUGUUGGGUGAUAAGAGUAUCUUGGUCCUUGAUGUGUUUCAUCAAGGUCUCCAUCAUUUUGGACAUGUUUGAAACUUGUUUUUCGAGAUUUAAAGUAUUUGUCAUCAUAGCAGGCAUUACAACAGAAGAAGCAGCGGGAUCUUCAAUAAAAAAAAAACUUUGAUUAAAGAGCUUCAUGGGAAGAGGCUGAUUCGGUGCUUGAUGAAUCAUCAUCAUACUUAGAAAAUUUGGAUCCGGAUCCAAAUUUAAGCAUGGCAAGAGUAUUCUUAAUCGAGACAGGAACGUCUUUGAUUCCAAUUGUGAAAGAAAAGCCCAUUGGUGAUGUUAAACCAAAGACGGGAGUUGACGCAGAUGGAACUUCCAUGCUACUUUGGGUGGAAGUUAUCAUCAUACUUCUUGUCAUAGGACCAACAGCGCCAGUAUUGGUGGUAACAUGUGCAAUUUCCUGAAAAGAUUUGGCAUCAGUAGCCUUGGAAUGUGCAGUUAUGGACUUGUUGUUCUUUGGUGCCAUCGAUGAUAUAUGUAGUUGAAUAUUUAAAGAGAAAAGAUGGAAGACAGAGAUCGUCCCACCGAGCGUGCCAAAAAUUUUUACGCGAUAAAAUUUCAAGUCUGCAAAACGACAAGAAAAAUAUACGACAAUUAUGCAAUAUAUAAUUUAGGAAAAUAUGUGAGUACAGUCUUCGAAAUUUUCUCGAGUUUAUAGAGAGUUUCCUUUGAUUCUUCCCUUCAAACACUAAUACAAGGGUUUCAUAGUUUGUUCUUGAAUCAACCACUAAUCCCUUCAAAUCUUGAUAUGGAAGAUUUGAAGAAUUUAAAAGAUAUUUGAAUACUCUAAGUCUUGAUAUUUGGAAGAUUUGAAGUGCUUGAAAAUUCAGGCCUUUGUAGUUCGGAGAUUCAAUACUUGACCGUAUGAGAUGCCCCUUGAUGUCCCCUGAUUUGGUAGAGAGAUCCCUAUUUAUAGCUGUAGUAUGAUGUAGAGGUUGAAAACAUGUAUACUGUGACGACCCCACUUCUCCCAAGGGCGAACCCGAGAGUAUUAGCGGGCCGCCUGCCUAACUCGCGCCAGGACUCGAAAUUUAAAGCAAUAAAACUAGAUAAACCGAAAGACCACUAUAUACACAAUAUAUACAAUCCCAAAAGUGUUCGAAUCAUCCCAUUACAUCCUUAUGAAUAUAACCAAAACCAAAGAGUAGACCCUAAGAAGGGUUCUUAUACAAACCACCAAAACUAAAACAAACAUCCUAAUUGUCCAACUAUUACAUGCAAAUCUAACUAUACUAGUGUAUGUGUCAAAAAUCCCUGCAUCGGCCCCUGCUAAGGAAAACAUAAGAAAAGGGGUAAGCUAUAUGCUUAGUAAGUAAACAGGGGCAAAAGCGUAAAUCUCACAUAUGUAAGAGUAAAGCAAAAGCAGAAAAAUAACAUCACAUAAUAAGGAUACGGGUGGCUCCAAAGCCAAUUCAUGUGCCAUGUAUGAUCUCUUGCCGACACUCCGUCGACCACAAAUAAUGGUCCGUAGAACUCCACUUGUUCUCUCACCGUACACAUUAUCGCCCUCUCUGGCCAAACACCUCACAAACUUGCUCGAGCGAACGAAAUUGAGCUUAGGUCACAAGCUCGGGUCACAAACUUGGUCCACAUACUCGGUGAACCGGAUUCACAAACUUAAUGACCUCAAUCCAGGUUGGACUGACUUCGACCAAGCCCUAACCGGCUCGAAUAGUCCAUCUAAGUAUUGAGAUCGGGCCCCAAACUCACAAACUUCACAAAAUUAUUCAAAAGUCACCCCGAGCCACAAGCUCAAGGGUUUUAGUUCCAAAAUUGCUCAUAUACACAAGCCAUGUACAAAUAUAUGCGCAAGUUAGGGUUUAGGUCGAGUGCGAUAAAGUACACCCUCACCUAGGUACCCUCUUCAUACAUAUCGAAACAUAUAAGCAACUAACACACAAGAGCGGCCUGAAUACUUACUCAAAAUACAAAAGUAGUACAAGAGCAAAAUCACGUCGUGCGUGUUCGCUAGUAGUGGGCCCCACCGGCUCCGCCAAACUCACCACUGUCUGAAAUAGAAGAUUGCAUCACAUAUUAUCACAAACGGCCAAUAACGUGCCCAAAACAAGCAAAACGGCAAAAUCGGCACAUGCAAGUGCGGAAACGGCAAAAUGGCGCGCGGAACGGCAAACGGAAAUGGCCAAAUCUGCCAUCUCAAACCGUUUUGAUCAAAAGUUAGGCUAGGAAUAUUAGUUCAAGGUGAAUGAGACACCGUUUCGAAGCUAUGAGGAAGGGCUACAAUUCUCCUGAAGACACCUUAAUCUAGAUCUGAAUGGAAGCAGGUCGAAAUUAUGGAAAACUGUACCAGAAAUUUAAGUCUUAGGGUGACGAACAGGGUUUGUUUGCUGGAUAAUAACUCACAGCUCACAAAUCCAAAUCAAGAAAUUCCAAAGGCCUUGGAAAGCUAAGACAUAAAUCUAUAACUUUCAUGUUUGGACCAAAAGCUGAAUCAUUACCGAGCAUGGAGGAAAACGGGUCCAAACAUUCUUGUCAGAACUGUCCAAUGUGCAGGCAGUUCUGACAAUCGAUCUUGUUUUGGUCAUAACUGAAGCUACGGGACUCGGAUUUGGAUGUACUUUAUACCGUUUCGAAGAUGAGACCAAGAUCUAUAUUUCUUAUGAAGGGAUCAACACCCAGUUCGCACGUUAUCAAAACGGAUAAAACAUGGGCAGAAGCAAAAGUCAAAACGUAACACAUUUCAGGGUACAAAACAGGUGCUAGUGUUUUGUCUAUAACUCGGACUACACUGAUCUGUUUGACCUGAAAUUUUGCAGGAAUGUUCAGGACAUAAGAGGCUACAACUUUCAUGUUUUGAGAAACUUCUGAAUCAAUACGUAGUAUCAAGAAAAAUGGAACCGAAAUUCCGAUGCUGAACUGCCCUGGUUACCCGUUUUGCCGGUUUCCAAUGUCGCAAACACAUGGUUCAUUUCUAUGGUUCUUAUGCAAGGUUUCCAACCAAAUUCAUACCAACUAAGCACACAUAUACUAACUUCUAAAUGACCUACAAAUGGUCCAAAGGUUUCCCUCUAAGCCACUACAAAAUUGCCAAAACUAACCAUGAUCCUUAAACUAACUUUAUUUGCAUUACCAAACUUAAUCUAACAACUUACUAACCAAACCCUAACUAACUAAACAUUAGCCAAGCUAAACCAACCUAAGGAAGCCUAGGGUUUCUUAACCCAAAUCAGUUUUUACCAUCCACUUCACCAAACAAAUAAAACAAAUCAUCAAACACAACCAUUACAAUCUUCAUAACACAAAAUUAGAGCUACUUAACUUGUUUAGCAUGAAACCCUAAUUAGGGCUCCUAUGGCUGAAUCAUCAAGGCCCCAAAAUUGACCAAAUUACUCCAUAAAAACAAGUGAUAGACAUAAGAGGUACCAUAAUCAAGCACAACUAAGAUUCUUUACCAAAAAUAGCCACUAGUUCAUCAAUCAAUAAUCAACUUAAGUCUUCAAAUAGACUUUCUUACCUCAAGAUUAAGUAUGUAUGAUGGCUAAUGACCUUAAGCCAACUCCAAAGUGGAUUUUUUAUGCUUCAAAAUGAAGAUUUAUGGAAGGAAAUUGAUUGAACUUCACAAACUUCCCUUGGUUUCUCCCUUCAAGGUGGCCGGCCCUCUCUCUCACUUUUUCUCUUUAAUUUUUGUUUUGUUUGUCUUACAAAUGACUUAUAAUCCUAAGGUAAUAAAUAGUCAAAGACAAUAGAAGAUAUUUUUAGGCUAACCAAUCACAUAAAAAUGCUUUAUUUGCCUUUUAAACCCUUGCACUUCAACCUAGCUUUUAUUCUACUCUUGCCCUCAAACAUUUGAUAAUCUUUCAAUUAACUCCAUAGGUCAUAACUUAAUCUAGUCUAAAACAUGUAAUCACGCUCAAUUACUUCACUAAUCACUUUCCUAUUUUAAUCACCUAUACUUAAAUAUACUUUUUCCAUAAUAAAAACAAUCAAACAACAACUUUUAUAACAUUAGCAAAAUUAGGGUUUUUAAACCCCACUUAAGUUUUCUAAUAAAUUGUAACACUAGAGGUUUGCUAAUCUAGAGUUUGCUAACCAUUUCAAACUUGCUAAACCUUUGUAAACUAAAACGAAUCCUAAACUUACGUAUGCCAAAACGCACACUAGAACACCGAAUAUAAAUUAUAGCUCGAACCUACGAAUAAUAAUACAUAAACUAGGGUUUUCAAUCUUAACCAAGAUUAGGAUUUUCUCCUUAGCCCUAAAACCCUAAUUUCACCACACCGAAUAAUGAAUAACCCUAACACUACAAGAAAAUUGUUCAUCAGUGACAACACAAAGUCAUCACAGAACAUACAAAUAUCGUCACAAAUACCUUUUAUUGACGACUUUUUGAUCGUGACAAAGUCGUCACUAAAUCCCCGUCGGUAAAAGUAAACAGUGUAGGUCGUCACUAAAUAGUUCUCAUUAGUGACGACUUUAAGUAGAGUAUUUUUGACAAAAGAUCAAUUCGUCAAUAAAACACUUCCAGAUUGUCGUCACUAAUGACAACUAUUUAGUGACAACUAUUUGGUCGUCACUAAAUAGUUGUCAUUAGUGACGAUAAUCUGGAAGUGUUUUAUUGACGAAUUGACCUUUUGUCAAAAAUGCUCUACUUAAAGUCGUCACUAAAAAGCACCGAAGCCAUUGUAUAUAACUAUUUUACUGACAACAAUUGUCGUCACAAAUGUAACUUAGAUUUAGUGACAGUCUCUGUUGUGACAAGGAGUUUUUAUUUUCUAUUUUGUGACAACUUUUUUUUGUCAUUAGAUAAUUUCAUAAUAGCUUAAUAGUCAUAAUUUGGCCUGUAAUCAUUGCUAAAUCAUUGAUUUUAAACAAACCAUACAAAUAAACAUGAACGAUUGAUAACCAAAAGUAUUUGCAUUAGAUUACAUGGUAAUAAUAUAGCAUUCUCAAAUGCCAAAUUCAAGUGUACAUUGCCCAACUAAUGCCUACAAAAAUAACAUUUGUCCAAAAUAUCACUUGUACAUAAGGUACAUUUACAAAAGCAAUCACAGUUUAAGAAAUUGAAGAACAUCUAAAUGAACCACUCAUGAGCAAAAGGCAAUUUUGUCUUCAACAUUCUUCAACCAUAACCAUAGAUAUCUUCCAAAAGCUAGUAUGAAUAGCAUUUAUCUGUCAUAAAAGAGUAAAAGAAGUAGGUAAGGGGAGGAGUACAAUAAUAAAGAACAAGUAAUGAGACUUAGAUUAUUAAGACAAAAAUUACAAUUCAUUAAGAACCUCAUAUAAUUUGGGCCCACAUAUUACAACACCAGCAAGAAGUUAGAAAUCACAGUCCAAUCUAUACAAAUACAACACUGCAUAAGCUCAACUAAAGAGCUCUCUAAAACAGUUUUUUUUAAUUAUCUUUCUUCUUCUUUAAAUAGCUCAACUUAUUGAACAAUUAAAUUGGACUCCCACAGUAAUUAUUGUUUAAUGUUUAUGCUUUUGGUUGUUUAUAUAUUAAAACUAGGUGAUUGCUUCCCACGCAAGGCGUGGGAACUUUAGACCUGUUAGUAAGGUUGUAUUUGUUAUUGUAAUAUUUUUAAUAUUUUAGAUGAUGAAAAGAGUGAUGUGGUGUGUAUCGUGAACUUGGGCUGGGAGUGAAAAGGAGUAUUAGUCAAAAAUAUAUUAGUUCAAAGAGUAGUCAUGUACUAAUACAAAGGAUACAGCCAAUGCAGUAAUGAUGAUUCACAAGAAAAAGGAAAGCAUGAUAUUUACAUAUACAGCAGUAAUUUAGUAUAGAUGAUUCAAAAGAAAGAGGCUCCUUUGACGUUCAAAUACAUUCCAUUAACAUGUAACAACAACUCAGAUGACAAUGAAAUAAAUUCACAAGUACUAAUCACUUGGUCAUUACUGCAGUAACAGUUAAUGGAAGUAGCAAGAUAUUGCUACAACUUGGUCACAUGCAAAUUUUUUUUUUGUUCUGGGUUCACAAGGAAUGAAUUCAUAAAUUAUGAAGCAGCAAAAUAAAUUCACAAGUACCAAUCACUUGGUCAUUGCCACAGCAACAGUUUCAAUACCAACAGUUUCAACUUUCUUGAGACAAUCAAGUUGCAUCUUAAGUUUGCAAAAUAUCAAGUUUUACAUGUCCAUUAAAAAUUUUAAAAAGUACCUUUGCUUUCAUCACCACCUUUCCGGCUUAGAAUACCUCCUUGAACACCACCCCCAUAAGCCACUGCUUCAUCUGGUUUUACACUCUUGUUGGGUUCCUUUCCAUCAAAGUAGUCCUUGAGAAGUUAUUGGACUUUUGGGAUCCUGGUAGCCCCACUAACAGGAACAAUUUCAUGCAUCUGGUGGUUCUCCAAACCAGCAUCCCCCAUAGCCUUCUUGACAAGUCCCAUGUUUUUGCUAAAGAGGUCAUUGUUCAACUCGUCAAAUCAAGCAUGAGUCCUAACUUGCUGCUGGCUGCUUAAAGCUCUUUUGGCACGUUCAGCUUCCCUCGGUUUUCCAAGUGGUCUAUUGUGGUUGCUGAUGUUCUUUCCAUGUUUCUUGUUAAUCAACUUGAUGAAAUAUUCUAUAAUCCUUUGAUGAAAGCCUUUGCCUACAAUAAAACAGAGCAAUUAGAACCAUAUGAAAGCUUUUUAUAAGAAAUGUAACUAAUAAAACUUAUACAAGAAAUUGGUUGCUUUAAUCAUUGUUCAAUAUUUUGCAAAAUCAACAGUUAAUUAGUGUAGUUAGAUAAACUUUUUUAAUUCGUAGUUAGACAGGCAACUGCUGCUGCUCUGGGUUCAUUGAUAGUCCUAGCAACAUUCAGCCCAGCAAUAAUACCUGCAUUCUUUGUUGCCUGCCUCUGGGCAUCAUUGAAGUAAAAUAUGAUUCAACGAGUAACUCUAGAAAUUGAACUAUACCGGGAACAGUUACCACAACAUCCUUAAUUUUCUUUGCAAGGAAAGCUUCAGCUGCUUCUUUCAUCUUAGUUAAAACCAUUACACUAAUUUCCUCAAGACUGAAGACUUUAACCUUACUAUCCUUAAUUUUCACCUAGAUAUAAGGUUUUCCAUCCUUGUUCACAAUCUUACAAGGAACGAGCUUCAUAUCCCUCUAAACUUCAUUAGUCUCAAUCCUGUUAUAUAACAGUUAAGACUUCAGUGAGCAUAUGUAUACACACCAAAAUGUUCCAGCAAAAAUGAUAAAUACACGAGUGUGCCUUACUUUCAUCCAAUAAGUCUCUUGACAUCAAAGAUAGUUCUUUCAACAUUAACAUCGAAUCAGUCUUUCGCUACCAGCAAAUGCAAUCCAUGAUGGCUUAAUACGAUUCCUUGGUCAUUUGCUGUGAUUUCAACAUGACCAUUUUUGUAAAUAUGAGCACAUGUAUAGGUAGUUCCAAGAUCUAUUCCAAUGACUAUUCCCAAUUUUGCAGCUUAUUCUUUGGUGAUGGAAAUUGUAGAUAGACAGCCUUUUGCACCGAAAAAUAUUAUUGGAAAAAGUAAAACUCUUAUGUAUAGUUUUUGAGAGAAAAAAACUAAAACACUGCAGGAUGAAGCAAUUCCACACUCAUGAUGAAAUCCACAAUUACUCGAGCAACCGUGGGAUUGAAGAGUUCGAAGAGCUUGCUCAAACAUUGUGGUGACCAUCCCAAGAACAAGUGGAAAAAAUAAGAACUCAUUUAAUUUCAAGAAAAUGAAAUGAACAUCAAGUAUCAAACUAACAAACAGUGCAGGAACAGAAGAAGGAUAUGAACUGCGAAGAACAAUCUGAUAGAUAGCCUAGUGGUUAAUGGUUUUUUUUUCCCAUCUCCCUUUUUUCUUCCUUCCCAAUCCUUCCUUGCUAAAAAAUGGCUUUGAAAGUAUCAAAUAGUACCUAUCAAAUUAGCGAACUGAGUUAGUUUAAAGAAGAUCCUAUAAUAGUUAUUCUAAAAAUCUUUAGUCACUUGCUACGUGAGGAGGGCGUGGCAGAUAAUAACUCUUUGUUUUUUGGCUCAUUUCGAAUUGAUAUACUUUUUGGCUUAAUUGGAGAGAACUAAUUUGAAUCAUUUCCAACCAAUUUACAGAUAAAAAAAAUUUCAUUUAUAUUAGAAAGCCGCAAGAUUUUUCCAAACUUUAUCAACCACGCUGCAUAUCACAUGAUAUUAUUCCCAUUCAAUUGUUGAUGGAGGCUUGGAAAUAAUAUCUUGAACAACUCGAUUUACACCACGUACACUAUUGCAUAUCUUUCUUGCAACAACAUCAAGGAAAUUGUGUUCAAAAUUGUACCAGUCAGCAGUCAUCCCAUAUUGACUUGUGACAGCUCUCAAUGCAACAACAUGAGAAUGUGUUCUUUGAUCACCUUGAACUCCAACAGACCUUAUGGGCAAGAAAACAGCAAAAGCUUGCUAUAUUUUAAAAAAAACAACCAAACCAAAUCAAACCAACCUUUACUAAUGAUUCUAAGAAAAACCCACUUCAAUUUUGCCAAGAAAAAAAUUGCAAAACAAAUGAUACAGGAAAAGAAACAUCCAACUUCAUAAAACUAAACAAAAAAGCCAUAGAAAACAACAGAAAACGUAAAUGGAGUUUGAAAGUGAUAUUCUUAGAAGGGUUCAAAUGCAACUAAAUAGGGACUUAACUGAAUGAAUUAUGGAUGUUUUAGGGUCGAAUUACGAAGUUCAGGAACUCUGGGGCUAAAUUACAAAAAAGAAAAUGGAAUGACCGGAAUUGCAAAUUUAAGCAAACGAUCGUCUUCCCCAAGCAGAUUAGGCAUCAAUCUUCUAUUUAGACCUUCACUCGGGCAUUUUAACAAACAGUACAUGGGCAUAGAAGGAUCCAGCAAUUUUUGCUCAAUUGGGACUGUAAUUAGCCCCCCAAAAUUUGUCAAAACACAAGAGAUUUCAGUCCAAACAACAUACAAUAGCAUACAAUCUAAAAUCGUUAGCAAUCAACAUGAAGUUGGCACUGAACAAACGCAUGGCAAACAUGCUUUGAGACUUUUCAAUGUUCAUACUAAAAAUGGAAAACUAAAAUUCAAAGAAGGCAGACGGCUUACAGCGUUUGCUUGGCGAAGUCUGUAGGCGAUGGUGAUGGUCGAAGGAAGGUGCGAAUGAUCAGGCGGCUGUAGCUGCCAUGGUAGCCGCGCUGGAGCUGGGCGCCAGUGGUGGGUGGCAACAUGAAAUCGAGGAGCGACAGUGAGAGAGAAAGGCCGUGCGGGAAGGGGAGAUGCGUCAGGCAGCUAGGCGGCGCACGAAAUGGAGGUGCCGUGGCGGAACUUGGAGGCGGCGGAAAUUGGAUGAGAGCAGAGUGAUGGCAGCUAUGGAGAUUGCGCGCUGUGAUGGCCGAUGAGCGGCUGUUGCUCUGUAUUUUCUUUGUGUCCCCUCCAGGCCAAGACCUUUCUCUGUUUCUGGUUUCACUUCCUCAAUCACCAGCCCCCAAAUGAAACUUUAGUCUUUUCCUUCGUUCCCCUGCCAACGUCCCCCUUUUCUUCCUCGACAGCUAAAAGAUUUUGGGCAGAAAUUUGCAAAAAAUAUUGUAGAAUAUUAGGGAUUUGGAAAAAUUGGGGAAAAUGUAUAGGAGAGAGAAAAAUGAACCUUUCCAAUGAAAACCUUGCCCUUUAAUGCUGGACAGCCAUGGUGAUGCUAGUGAGAAGCCAGAGAACGGAUUUGUUGUGUGGGUGAAGGUAUCAGGUGCCGUGCGGAAGCUCUGUUUUGUGCUCAGUGCAGAAGCUUGUUUGUUUCAGCUCGGUGAAAGUUUGUGUUGCUCAAGUGUUCCGUUGCUUUAACUCAGACCAAGUGUUCCGUUGCUUUUCUUUUCAGAAUGUGUUCCGCUGCUUUGGUCUUUGCUUUGCUUUGGAUAUUGUUUUUGUUGCGCGGCACUUUCACUAUGAUUUGAUCAAAAUUUUGACUUCACUCAUUUUCCCUCCAUUUGAUACCAAAAAUCAUGUUUUUUUCUGGAUUUGUAAUAUGGUUUGAACCAUAGAUUUUAAUGCUAUAGUAUUAUUUUUUAUUUUUUAGCAAAAAAUAAAAAUUUUCAUCAACAUAGGUGGCAAAAUUUGUUAAUUUCAUAUAAUUGAAAAUGUACUUUUAUAAUUUGCUAAUAUUUUAUACUAAUUUCUUAUAAUUGCAGCACUAAAGAACAUCAUGUAAUUGAAAAUAAUUAAACUCAAAUUAUAUGGUUAUAACAUAGUUUCAAUAAAAAUAAUCAUUUUCCCAACAUUUGAGACCAAUCAUCAUGCUUUUUUAUUUUUAAUUUGGUUUGAAGCAUAGAUUUUAUUGCUAUAGUAUUAUUCUUUAUUUUUUAGUACAAAAACACAAAUUUUCAUCAAUAUAGGUGGCAAAAUUUGUUAAUUACAUAUAAGUGAAAAUAUACUUUUAUAAUUUGUAAAUAUUUUAGCCCUGCAAUUUUGUAUAAUUGGAGCACUAAAGUACAUCAUUAAUUGAAAAUAACGAAAGUCAAAUUCUAUGGUUAUAACAGACUUUCAUUAAAAAUAAUCAAAUACUAUUAAUAAGACAUUAUUGUUAAGUCAAAAUCAAAGAAAAUUUGGUGAUGACAUAAUGUUAUCACUAAUUUAUUCAAGAUUAUAAUGACAAGAAAAGUCGUCACUAAUUAAAUUGCUAGUUUUUAAUAUUGUCAAUUGCUAGUUUUUAAUACUUUUGUGAAAAUAUUGAUAAUGGUUGAGAAAAUUUUGUUACAUUACUGCAAGUGAUAAAUGUACUUUUGUUCUUUUUCAAACAUUUAUUUUAAUGUUUAAUUUUGUUUAAAACUAUUGUACUAGUAUAGAUUUGCAAAACAAAACUUAAGUUCUCAAUAGUUAAAAAAUUCAUUACAGAGAAAACACAAAGUAGUAGUUGCAAAAUGUGUAUAAAUUACAGAUAUUUUAAUGUGUAUAAAUUACAGUUUAUUUUAAUAUUUAAUUUUGUUUGAAACUAUUUUACUAGUAUAGAUUUGCAAGACAUAGAUUUAUGGGUAAUUUUUUUUUUUCCUUUCACAUAUUUAAUUUAUGUUAAAUACAAAACCUACCAGUUUCCCUUUCAUAAAAAUAUUAGUGCAACACUUUUUGAAUUUUACUUACAAACAUUUAUGUAUUUAACGUAAAUUAAAUGAUUCAGAGUGAAAUGCCCAUAAAGAGCAGAAUAUUUAUUCAUGUAAUGGAGGAAACCCACAAAGAGUUGGUACUUUAUGGGUCAUUUCUUUUUUUAAAAAAAAAUUAAUUUAUGUUGAAAAGAUAACCUGCCAGUUUUUGUUUUGUAAGAAAUCAGUGUAAUACUUUUUAAAUUUUACUUACAAACAUUUAUAAAUUUAUCAUAAAUUAUAUGUUUGAGAGUAAAAUGCCCAUAAAAAGUUGGUACUUUAAAUAGAUAAUGCUCAUUUGCCCAUAAACUACACUCUCUAAAGGCUAUUUUGUUAAUUACUUUGUAGUACUUUGUUAUUCCUUUGCUAAUACUACUUGGCAUGUAGUACAAAGGAUAAAUCUGGCAUAAAUUUCUUAUUCCAUUGAUAAAAAGACCUGCCUGCCUUAUAACUAUUGUAAUGAAAGAUAUAUCUUUAGAGUUUAUAACAAAUUAUUACUUAAGUUUGAGAAAAUUAUAAAAUAUUUAUGCAUAGUUUAUCAAGAUACCAUUCGCAAUUUCCUAAUAAAAAAAUAGGGGCUAAAUUGUAAAAGCUAGGGUGCCAUAAUAGAAAUAAUAAAAUUGGUGUAUUACAUAUGGGGGUUAAAUUGCAAAAGUUAGAGUGCCAUAGUAGAAUUAAUAAAAUUGGUGAAUUACAUAUGGGACUAAAUUACAAAAGUUAGGGAGUAAUAAUAGAAUUAAAGAAAUCGGUGCACUACAUAUAGGGCUAAAUUGUAAAAGUUAAGGUAUCAUAAUCGAAUUAAUGGAAUUUUUUACAACAUUUGGGGCUAAAUCGCAAAAGUUAGGGUGGCACAGUAGAAUUACAGAAAGUGACUUAGAAAUAAGUACUUUAAACAGUGACGAUUAAUUCUUGUCACUAAAUCCAAAUCGGUAGAGUGACAGUGACGAUAUUAGAAGUUGUCACUAUAUAGAUCAUUUUAGUGACAACUUUUUCAAGGUCGUCACUGAAAACUUAGUUGCUUUGAGCAAUUAUGACAACUUUCCUUGUCGUCACUAAACAACCACGUUUUGUGACGACUUUUGUCGUCACUAAAAAAUGUUGUCACUAAUGACCAUAUUUUUGCAGUGUAGUUUGUGACGAAAAUAACGGGUCAUUACUAAACAUUUAGUUGCUUUAAUGCAAUUAUGACAACUUUAGGUGUCGCGACUAAAGAAGCUCCUUUUGUGACGACUUAUUGUCAUCACUAAAAAAUGUUGUCACUAAUAAAAUUUUUUUUUAGUGAUCAGUGACGACAACAAAAAGUCGUCCGUAAAUAGGCCAAGCAAUAGUGAUGAUGUUCUUAAUGUCGUCACUAUUGUGUGUUCUAAACACUCCCGCGCUCUUGCUAAAACUUGGCGAGAUAUUACUAGUGACGAAAAGUCGUCACAAAUGAGUUGGCUCCCAUUAGAGGUUUGUCACGAGUUAGAAAGUCGUCAAUAAAGGAUCCACUUUUGUGACAACUUUUUUUCGUCACAGAGAAAAGUAAAUCUCACAUAUGUAAGAGUAAAGCAAAAGCAGAAAAAUAACAUCACAUAAUAAGGAUACGGGUGGCUCCAAAGCCAAUUCAUGUGCCAUGUAUGAUCUCUUGCCGACACUCCGUCGACCACAAAUAAUGGUCCGUAGAACUCCACUUGUUCUCUCACCGUACACAUUAUCGCCCUCUCUGGCCAAACACCUCACAAACUUGCUCGAGCGAACGAAAUUGAGCUUAGGUCACAAGCUCGGGUCACAAACUUGGUCCACAUACUCGGUGAACCGGAUUCACAAACUUAAUGACCUCAAUCCAGGUUGGACUGACUUCGACCAAGCCCUAACCGGCUCGAAUAGUCCAUCUAAGUAUUGAGAUCGGGCCCCAAACUCACAAACUUCACAAAAUUAUUCAAAAGUCACCCCGAGCCACAAGCUCAAGGGUUUUAGUUCCAAAAUUGCUCAUAUACACAAGCCAUGUACAAAUAUAUGCGCAAGUUAGGGUUUAGGUCGAGUGCGAUAAAGUACACCCUCACCUAGGUACCCUCUUCAUACAUAUCGAAACACAUAAGCAACUAACACACAAGAGCGGCCUGAAUACUUACUCAAAAUACAAAAGUAGUACAAGAGCAAAAUCACGUCGUGCGUGUUCGCUAGUAGUGGGCCCCACCGGCUCCGCCAAACUCACCACUGUCUGAAAUAGAAGAUUGCAUCACAUAUUAUCACAAACGGCCAAUAACGUGCCCAAAACAAGCAAAACGGCAAAAUCGGCACAUGCAAGUGCGGAAACGGCAAAAUGGCGCGCGGAACGGCAAACGGAAAUGGCCAAAUCUGCCAUCUCAAACCGUUUUGAUCAAAAGUUAGGCUAGGAAUAUUAGUUCAAGGUGAAUGAGACACCGUUUCGAAGCUAUGAGGAAGGGCUACAAUUCUCCUGAAGACACCUUAAUCUAGAUCUGAAUGGAAGCAGGUCGAAAUUAUGGAAAACUGUACCAGAAAUUUAAGUCUUAGGGUGACGAACAGGGUUUGUUUGCUGGAUAAUAACUCACAGCUCACAAAUCCAAAUCAAGAAAUUCCAAAGGCGUUGGAAAGCUAAGACAUAAAUCUAUAACUUUCAUGUUUGGACCAAAAGCUGAAUCAUUACCGAGCAUGGAGGAAAACGGGUCCAAACAUUCUUGUCAGAACUGUCCAAUGUGCAGGCAGUUCUGACAAUCGAUCUUGUUUUGGUCAUAACUGAAGCUACGGGACUCGGAUUUGGAUGUACUUUAUACCGUUUCGAAGAUGAGACCAAGAUCUAUAUUUCUUAUGAAGGGAUCAACACCCAGUUCGCACGUUAUCAAAACGGAUAAAACAUGGGCAGAAGCAAAAGUCAAAACGUAACACAUUUCAGGGUACAAAACAGGUGCUAGUGUUUUGUCUAUAACUCGGACUACACUGAUCUGUUUGACCUGAAAUUUUGCAGGAAUGUUCAGGACAUAAGAGGCUACAACUUUCAUGUUUUGAGAAACUUCUGAAUCAAUACGUAGUAUCAAGAAAAAUGGAACCGAAAUUCCGAUGCUGAACUGCCCUGGUUACCCGUUUUGCCGGUUUCCAAUGUCGCAAACACAUGGUUCAUUUCUAUGGUUCUUAUGCAAGGUUUCCAACCAAAUUCAUACCAACUAAGCACACAUAUACUAACUUCUAAAUGACCUACAAAUGGUCCAAAGGUUUCCCUCUAAGCCACUACAAAAUUGCCAAAACUAACCAUGAUCCUUAAACUAACUUUAUUUGCAUUACCAAACUUAAUCUAACAACUUACUAACCAAACCCUAACUAACUAAACAUUAGCCAAGCUAAACCAACCUAAGGAAGCCUAGGGUUUCUUAACCCAAAUCAGUUUUUACCAUCCACUUCACCAAACAAAUAAAACAAAUCAUCAAACACAACCAUUACAAUCUUCAUAACACAAAAUUAGAGCUACUUAACUUGUUUAGCAUGAAACCCUAAUUAGGGCUCCUAUGGCUGAAUCAUCAAGGCCCCAAAAUUGACCAAAUUACUCCAUAAAAACAAGUGAUAGACAUAAGAGGUACCAUAAUCAAGCACAACUAAGAUUCUUUACCAAAAAUAGCCACUAGUUCAUCAAUCAAUAAUCAACUUAAGUCUUCAAAUAGACUUUCUUACCUCAAGAUUAAGUAUGUAUGAUGGCUAAUGACCUUAAGCCAACUCCAAAGUGGAUUUUUUAUGCUUCAAAAUGAAGAUUUAUGGAAGGAAAUUGAUUGAACUUCACAAACUUCCCUUGGUUUCUCCCUUCAAGGUGGCCGGCCCUCUCUCUCACUUUUUCUCUUUAAUUUUUGUUUUGUUUGUCUUACAAAUGACUUAUAAUCCUAAGGUAAUAAAUAGUCAAAGACAAUAGAAGAUAUUUUUAGGCUAACCAAUCACAUAAAAAUGAUUUAUUUGCCUUUUAAACCCUUGCACUUCAACCUAGCUUUUAUUCUACUCUUGCCCUCAAACAUUUGAUAAUCUUUCAAUUAACUCCAUAGGUCAUAACUUAAUCUAGUCUAAAACAUGUAAUCACGCUCAAUUACUUCACUAAUCACUUUCCUAUUUUAAUCACCUAUACUUAAACAUACUUUUUUCAUAAUAAAAACAAUCAAACAACUUUUAUAACUUUGGCAAAAUUAGGGUUUUUAAACCCCACUUAAGCUUUCUAAUAAAUUGUAACACUAGAGGUUUGCUAAUCUAGAGUUUGCUAACCAUUUCAAACUUGCUAAACCUUUGUAAACUAAAACGAAUCCUAAACUUACGUAUGCCAAAACGCACACUAGAACACCGAAUAUAAAUUAUAGCUCGAACCUACGAAUAAUAAUACAUAAACUAGGGUUUUCAAUCUUAACCAAUAUUAGGGUUUUCUCCUUAGCCCUAAAACCCUAAUUUCACCACACCGAAUAAUGAAUAACCCUAAUAUCAACUUACGAACUGACUGGGGCCUCACAUAUACCACUCUACUUGUCUUGUAAGACAUGUAGUCAUACUAGAAAUGUGCCAACUUAAAUAUUAUCUCUUUAUUUUGUAUUUAUUAAUAAAGAGAUAAUACCAAUAAGUAAUUCCUUGAUUGGCCAAACUUGUAAAUACAUACGACGUUGCAUCAUUUGAUUGGGCAACCUUGCAGUAUAUAAGAUAUCUACAUGGAUUAAAUAAUCCUAAAUAUUAUUUUUUUAAUAAAGAAAUAACAUUUAGAUUGUAAGGAUCGAAGACAACCAAGUGGAAGAGAUAAACAAUGUAAAGAUCACAAGCGUAACAAAAAGUGAAUAAAAAGGAAAGAAUUGCAAACCAAUUAACUACCCAACUCCUCUUGAGCUUGUAGAUUAAUUCAAACAAGUUUUUUCAAAUUGAUGAAUUACAAUCACUCUUGUGUACAAAGGAAGGUUCACCUCCUCCUUGCCCCAAACUCCACUCGGUCAAGUUAGGACGUUUUACUAUCCCUCAGGACAACCCUCACAGAGCUACACUCAUGAAGUAUUCACUCACAAAUGAAAAGCUUACAAUGAACCUCACACCACUAAGACUACAAAUCUUCUUUGAAGAGUAUUUUCUCACUAAAAUCACUCUAGAUCUUUUGUAUCUUCAGUGUGCAAAAGUUGUUUGAAGUAUCUGACCAACCACUAUUUAUAUAGGAUCAAGAAAGUGCCUCAUUAGUGCUUCCAACGGAUAGAAAGUAGCUGAAGAGUCAACUAGCCGUUGGAGUGUCGGACGUCCGAUAGCCCUGUUUUAUGCGUCCGACAGCAGGCAGUGAGUUUAAGAGAUUUUCUUCAAUUCUUUCGGACGUCCGGUGCAUGCUUUUUGUGCGUCCGACAGCAAACAAAGAGAUUUGAGAAAUUAUCUUGUUUCUAUUGGACGUCCGGUAGAGACAUAUUUAGCGUCCGAUAGUUUUGUCGACUUUGAAGGAUCCUAUCGGGCGUCCGAAGCAUGCGUCCGAAGUUGUGCAAUGAUUAUCGGACGUCCGGUACUGUCUUCUUGAGCGUCCUGCAGGUUCAGCAUACUCUGUCUUUUUCAAAUGUGCUUAAUCUUUGAACCUGAUUUGUUUCAUUACUGAAAAAGCCUUUGAAGAGAUGUUAGCAACAUCCAUUUGUUUUGUAAUCAUCAAAAGUUAGGGACCAAGGUCAACAUAGAUAUUUAUCCAUAAUUUUGCCAAGUCAUAUAGACAUGUGACGCGGCAUAAUUUGACUGGCAAAAAUAUCUUGGAGAUUUUAAUUGGCUGCAACACCUCGUCUUGACAUGUGGAGAGAUAAAAUUGGUUACUGAAUAGUCAAAUUUUCAAGUGUGCCUGACGUAUGGUCAUACUCAAUUGAAUAAAAAUAAGCCAUAGAAAUGAUUUAUAGACCAACGGUAAUUUUUAGAAUUUAAUUAAAAUCUCAUUGCCUACAAUAUAUAUAUAUAUAUAUAUAUAACAUUAUUUUUUGUAUUUCAAAUAGGUCUCAUUAUAUUUUUAAAUUUUCAGAUUCUAUCAUUUUAUAGUUCUCCGAAUUUAUGUAUGCAUUCUUAUUAAAUGUAAUUUCUUUCUUGUACAGCUUUUUCCAAAUUUUUCUUUUCUAUCUCUAAUGAUAUAUUUAAUGCUUCUAUUAUAAUUUCUUCAAAAUGGUUUUUAUUUAUAAGAUUUCUUACUUUAUUUAUUUUAACUUUUAUUGCUAAGUCUUUACUAAUGUAUUUUUGAGAAUCUUGGCAAUAUGUUAUUCUUUCUGGCCUAUUCAUUGUUCAUCUAAGUGUUCAUUUCUAUAGUGGUCUGUAAAUUCUUUGUUUAUUUGUGCAUAUUUAUUAGUUAUUAAAUAUUUUUCAUGUUCUGCUUCUCUUAAGGUCUGGUAUUUAUCAUGACAGGUAAUGGGAUGACAAUUAUUCAAAGUAAAUGAAGCCACCUUUCUUGAUAAUAUGCAAUUCUUUCAUUUAAUUAUUGUAACUGAUAUGCAUAUUCUUUAACAAGAAAUAACAUUAAAUCACAUAUUUCACAUUCUUCCAUUUUAAGGAGAAGAAUAGUGCCAAUCAGAAUCAUCAAAUUCUAUUCCAUUAUCAAAAUAUCUAAUAGAAACUGGGUUUGCAUCAUAUUCUUCAUUAGAAAUAUAAUCAUCAUUAUUAUUUAAGGGAAUAUGUAGAUCAUUUCUAGGUUCUGAUACCAUUUCGGUGCCCAAAUUUAAGUCAAAAUUGAAGUUUGGGUUGACUAACAAAAUAUUUAUAUUUAUGAUUCUUGAUGUAAAGGAUAUUUUUAUUUGUAAAGCAUAUUCAAGAUAUAUUAUAUUUAUUGAUAAAGUAUUAAAUGAGUUUGUAGAAUCUUCCAUAAAAUUUUUUCAGGAUAAUAGAGUGCAUACCAUAUCUUAGCCUAACAAUUUCAUAUCAGUAAAAGAAAAAGGGUCCAUCACACUUCCAUACUUUAUAUCUUAGUUUUUAUCAACAAAACUCUAGCUACCUCCCUGAGGAUCUCUUACUUGGGCGUUUCAACCUCCAACCAUAAGGGUGACUUUCUUUAAGGGCCGCUUCAGAAUUUUGCAGUAUAGUUUAGUUUCGUUUCCUACCUCUAAGCGUACUCAAAUAUAAAGAAUGAAGAGGUAUGAAGAAACUUUCUUCUUUUAUUGAUAAGGAAAUUAUAGUACAAGAUAGGUUGGCACACUACUCUCUCUCUCUCUCUCUUAUUAACUAGACAUGAAUGAGAGAAAUGCUUCAAGGCAAAGUUGCUUCUACGUGGGCUCGAUUCACCUCGUUUACAAGUAGUCAUCCUAUUUAUAGAGGUUGCGGAUUUCAUUGUCGGAUAUUAAUUGAUACUUUUCACGGACUUUAACUUGCUUCGAUCCCGCGGAUUUAACCAAAAUAUUUUGGAUUUCGAGAAUGACUUGAGUGCUUAUGUUUUAUUCCAUACUUCGAUUGCUUGAGGCGAGAUCCUUAUUUCUUUUUUCUCCUUAGUACAAGCCACAUACAUGUUACUUUUGUACUUUUUCAUCCUGCAAAAAGUUUUGAUAGCUUUGUUGUUGGACAAACGCUUUCAAGUAAGCAUAUUUUCCAAUUUAAAUAAUUCAUUGCUGCCUCUAGGAUUUUUCCUACAUUUGUAGUCAUAAUUGAAUAAAAUGCUCCAUUUUCUCCAUAUGUACAAAAAUCUUGCUUGGGUAUAUUUUCAAGAUUUUGUAGAACAAUUCUUGCUUCAAGGGAUUUUCGAUAAUCCAUUCUCUGUGAAUCCUUACGAUCAGCCCAAGUGCCAUUUGAUUCAGUAAAAUCAUGAGCUAGGCCUUAAAUACUUGAGUUUUUCUUUAAAAAAUAAAUAAAAAAAAUAUUGAUGUGUUAAGCCAAAAAAAGGGACUUUUGUUCUUGAAAGUGAUUUCCUUGUCUAAAAAUAAAGUGAACUUUACUUUCGAAAAAAUGUUUACUAAGACAAACUUAAAGUCAAAGAAAUCACUGAUGAGGUAAAACCAAGUCCUAAGAACCCAAAAACAUUGUGCAUUAGAAAAUAUGAAAGCGCCACCUCCCCCCCCCCCCAAAAAAAAACCCAUUUUAGAAUGGAGUUUUACCAUGACAUUAAUUAAUUAAUUCAUGAGAAAGAGUAAAUUAAACGAAGUAUAAAUCUAAAAUUGCAAAUAAGUAAGAGUUGAUGCAAAUGUCACACAAUACAUAGUGCUCCAAAAAUCGAACUUAACUUUUUUGGAAAUUAGAAUCUUUUCAUUGCAGGUCGAGGGCAUUCCCGAGUUCGACUCUUGAAAUGUUCUCUUUUUCACUCUUCUUGUAAGGUUUGGAAAUUGGAAUAAAACAACAAAAAGGCAUGUAAAAUAUAAAAGGAAAAACACAAAAAUAUGAAUAGAUGCACAUUACGAAUUUCCAAGGUGUCAGAUUAUGUGCAUCUAAAGACAGAUAUGUGACUGCUAAUUAGUAUACACAACCUAUAAAGGUCGAACCAAAAAAACUUGACCGUGCAACCCGCAGCUCAUAACCAGAUUGGCUUUUUCACCCUCCAUCCUAAUUUUUAACUCAUUAUACCCUAAACAUGCAGAUUUAUCCGACUUUGAUCCUUUUGUUAUUUGAGAAAAUCCGUGGAAUUUACUUGCGUCUGCAUCAUAUACUAUUAAUUAGCAUGUCAAAUUUCACUUUACAUGUUAUGACUGUCGGAGCAAUUUUGUGUAGCAUUUCGGACCUAGGCAAACAUGCAUUGAGACAAAGAUAUCACUGCUAGAGAUAUACUCCAUGACCUCCCCCACCAACCCCUCCCUCCCCCCCAAAAAAAACACAAAAGAAAAAAAUACAAGAAUCUCCUUAAAAAAUGAGAAAAGAGAAGAAGGAAAGAAAUUCAUGGAGAGAGAGAGAGAGAGAGCCUAACCGUGUACAAAUGGAAUAACUUUCCACGAUGACAUUUAUUACUACAUCAUGCAUCAUGAUACCGAUAACAACAAUAUCCCAAUCUAGCAUGUAGUAGGAUCAUCUUAUAUGUGAAACUUGCAGUACUGAUACAUUUCUAAUCAUUCUACAUUAAGCAUAAACAAGUUCCAAAUUGCCCCAAGAGAAAAACGGAGAGGAAGCUCUGCAAUGCUUAACAGGAUGAU
Molecule: long non-coding RNA, 49277 nt
Filed under: Coffea arabica (coffee)
Lineage: Eukaryota; Viridiplantae; Streptophyta; Magnoliopsida; Gentianales; Rubiaceae
Description: long non-coding RNA (CARA_LNC000604)
Source: RNAcentral